UUUUUUUAUUUUCUCAUUCUGACUUCUAAAUCACGAACUUCUUUCAUAAAACUAGUUUGAAAGGUCCUACCAAAUUAAAAGAACUUCUCAACUUCUCAAAAUUAUUAUUAUUUUGAGAAUUGAUCAACGUUCCAUGGUGAAGUCCCUCAAACUCUCCAUGGGGACCCAAACAUUAGAUGCCAUUAGAUGCUAAUAACGCCCACUACAAUCAGCACCAGAUAAUCCUAGACAUUCAAUCAACAAUAGAAAUCGAACCGAGGACCAUGUGCCUCUACCACUGACCACCACUAACCAAUUGGACACAUUGAUGGGCUUAACUUCUCAAAAUCCAUCCAAACCAAACCCAAAAUAUUUUUUCUUUCAUAUGUAUAUCAAAUAAAGAGACUUUAGAUUCUUUUUCCCCCUUUUUCCUGCUGCAUUCCAUCAUCCAAACAUAGCCUAACAAUUAGAGCUCAACAAAAUACAAAAAAUGGUUCAGUUUUUACAGGCUUAAGGACUUUAAGAGUUCAUUUGAAUCUUGAGGACUCCAGCUGUAACGCCCAGACAUUUUCUUUUAAGGGUAAUUUAAGAAAUUGUUAUUAAUAAUUUAAUUAGUUAAUUAAUUAAUUUAAUAAAGUGGAAGAGGGGUAAAAGUGUAAUUUUACAAAUAAAUACCCUAGGUAUAAAUUAGAAAUUUUAUUCUUUCCCUUCUUUUCUGAAUAGAGUUCCUGUUCAUAGAAUUCCAGAGAAAAGGUUGGAGUCAGAUUUCAGGGUUGAAGAACAGAUCUCUAUAGGUAAGAUUCUAACCCCUAGUUUAAUAUUUUAGAUUCAUUGAUUAAUUUCAAACACAUUAGAUAUAUUUUUUUUGGAAAACCCCAAAUCUAGAUUAGGGUUAGAUUAUUUUUUUAAUUCGUUUUAAUAUCAAAUAGUGAAAAUUUAAUAUUUUGAUUUUAGUAUUGGAAUUUGGGAGAUCUUAAGUUUUAUUAGAAAAAAAAAAAUUCCUUGGAAUAUUUCGAUUUUAGGUUAGGGUUAAUUAAAAAAAAAAAAAAAAGGGAGAACGCGUGUGCACAGCAUUGGAAGGAAGGAAAAUAAAAAUAAAAAAAAUUUUUGGGCGUGUGCCCAGAUGGAAGGAGACUUAUAUUAUAUAUAUAUAUAUAUAUAUAAUGAUUCAUUAUUAUGAUGAUGGCAAUGGAAAAAAAAAAAAAAAUUGCUUUGCUUUACUUGUUUGGUGUGUACCCCAAACAAGUAAGAGAUUUAGCAAAAUAUAUAAUAAUAUAUUUUUUGUAAUAAUGAUUUAGCCUCAAAUUAGAUAAUUAAUAAAAUAAUGAUAUUUAGUUUCAGAUUAAUAAUUAAGAUAAUAGUAAUAAUAGAUUUAGCAAAAUAUAUAUAUAUAUAUAUAUAUAAUUUUAUAAUGAAAUAAAAUUGUAAUUUAAUUAAAUUAGUAGUAUGUUAUUAGAAACAAAUUGAGAAUUUAUUAGUUUUAUUUAAAUAAAGAAUAAAUUAGUUAAAUUAUAAAUAAAUAGUAAUAAUUGUUUCUCUUAUGUUAUAUUAGGUGAAGAGUAGAUUAUAUUUUUUUCAGAAUUAUUCUUCUCCCAAACUUUCAAGGACUUCUUUUGAGGUAAGGGAAGUUAAUAUAAUAUUUAUAAAAUUAAAUUAUUUCAUAUGUUAUUUUGAAUUGUGGAAAAUAAAAUGAUAUUUUGUUACCAUGCAUGGAUCAAAUUGUUUUGCACUAAAUGUUAUGUUGGAAUAUUUUGUUUUAUUUAUGACACAAAAUAUGGAGAUAUUAUGUUGUGUAAAUUUGAAUACUUGAACAAAAACAUCACUCUGGUUUAUUUGGCCCUUGUCAACGGGAUAUAAUAGUUGACUAUUCGGCCCUAUCAACGGGAUAUAAUAGUUGAUCUUUACAUUUCAUAGUGAGAAUGUAAUUGAUUUGGACCCCAGCCUCUAGGGGUUUGGUUAGAGGUUACUAGUACUAGUAGUGUUUGGUCCGUCCACCAAGAACAAUUUGAGGCUAGCCACCCAUUUGAAAAGUCCCACCUAACUGGGCAUUUGAUAUUUGAUAACCAGAGUAAUGAAACUUGAAUGAAUUUGAUUGAAUCUUAUGUGAAAGUGUUUGAAUUUGAUAUGAAAUUGAUUGGUUGAAUUUUGAAUAUAUUGGUAUUUUUGGAACUCUGAUAUUUGAUGAGAAAAAAAAAAUUGAUAUCUCCUAUUUGAAAUGAAAAUAUUUGAUCCAUGAAUUGCAUUAAUAUUCCUUAUUGGGCUGUGAGCUCAUCCCCAAUUGUUGAAAAUUUUUCAGGUACUCUUAGUUCGGGUGAGGAGUGAUGGCUAGGCUGAAGAAUGGUCAUCAUUAGGAUUUGACUUAGGAUUUUAUGUUGGAUUUUGUUUAACUGUUAGUUAUGUUCAUUUGGAUCAUUUGAUAUUUGGAAGUUAUUUGGAAAUUGAAUUUUGAAGAAUUUAGAUUUUGUUCCGCUACUCUGAACAGGUAUUUGGUAAUUAGUAACAUCUAGUUACAAUAUGAUUGUUCGGGUCAGAUUAUACUUUAAGCCUUCGGGUUUGAGGUGUGAAAUGACCGUCACGCCCUUGGAGUGGGUCUUGGGGCGUGACACCAGCACUAGGAGAAUUUUUUAAUAACUCAAAAUAUAAGACUGAAGGGACUCAGUUCAGCUCAAAUAUCAGUUGAACAAAAGUAAUAAAAUCGGCAUUCAGCAGCAAAAUUAUUUAAACACAACCUCAAGUAAUAGUGGUUUUAACAUAAAGAUCAACCUUCAUAUUUAACAGGAAGGAAAAAAAAGACUCAUGUGGCAUUGAAAGAAAAUAAUUUUCACUGAACACUAGAAAAUUUGCUAUCCACCAUUGCUACAAAACAACGUUUCAAGUUUCAGGUUUUGGGUUUCAAGCAGUAUUAGCUCAAAAUAUAGAUGUAGGUGAAACAGCCGAGAAUUCUAAAAUGAGUAAUAAUCAUAGAGCUUACGAUUAGUCACAAGAGAGUGCCUCCUGUAAAACUUUUGUGGUCUCCAUGACUCUAUGACCAGCCAAGGACAUAGUCCAAAACAUAAACCAGUGCCAGGGAGAAAGGGUAUAGCAAGAGAGCUACAAAAGAUGUCCAGAGAGGGAAGGUGGUGCGGAAACUGGCAAAAACGCCCAUCACAACGCAAACUAUGACAAUGACCAGCACCUCUGAUGAAAAGUCCCAUGUCAAUCCCCUAACAUAAACGAGGGCUAAGAAGACUGACAGGCAAAGGACAUUAUUCAUUGUUACCGCCCCAUAUAACUGUAUGAGAAAAAGAGAUGAAAACAGAUUAGAGGGAUAAUUUCAUAACUCCAGAACAAAACAUUUAACGAUGAAGCAAAUAUAUUGAUGCCUGUAAACAAUAACACCAAUGUUUAUGCCUUGUGAGUUCAUAUUCUGCACUAUUUGAAGAUGAACCUAUGACUAUACUGGAACUCUGGCCUACAAGCAGCUAACAUGGUUCGUAUAAUUCAAUAUACACCAGUCAUUUAGAAAGUCAGUUCCAGAGACUGCAUUUCACUGGGGGAGGGAGAGAGGAUUACAAGAACUGUUAUGAGAUUGUGAGAAAUACAGGUGUUAUAAGAAGAUGUCUUAGGAGAUCAAAUGUAAGAAACAUUGAUUAGGCUAAAAAGUGCGUUUGGUAGUGAUUUUAGGAAGUCUUUCUAGUCUUUCUAACACUUGAAAGAUAAUGGACCUUCCCUAUAAAACAACCAAUGAAGUUUUAGCCAAAUCUAAGAGCUAAUGGGCACUUUGCAGUAAUGAAAAAGCAAUAAUACCUUCUAAUCUUAAGUUUUUCACUAGAAAUCAACGGAAUAAUUAGUGAAUGACAAAUCACAAAUUUUUUUCAUUUUCUUAAAAAAAUAGAUUGUUAAGUUUGGGAAACAUUAGAUUCAUUAGAAAUAUUGGAUCAUUAAUCAAAUAAUGCUCUGCCAUAUAGCUCCAAACAGGUGGUGUGAUUAUUUAGUAUCCAAAAAUUACAUAGAAGAGAAGGGAAGAAACACACCUCUGAAAAUGUCAAAGACGUAGUCCUGUUCUUUUUGCGGCUAGCAAAGAUAAUUGCUGAAACUGCCUCACUGGAGUUGGUAGCCAAGGGCAGUGCAAUAAAUGAGAUGAAGAAGGUAGGAAUACUUGUAGCAUCAGAGAAGUUGUCAACAGCAUCUACAAGGGGAUCAGCAAAUACAGCUGCAAUAAGAGUUCCCAACAACAACAUCAUUACUGCUUUAAAGGUAAUCCACUUCGGGUUUUCCACAGCCUCAACCACCUCAUCACUUUGAUCCCCCCCCAAACGAUGGUGCUCUCUCUUUGUUCCCUGCAGACGCAUUUCAAAAAGUUGGGAAUCUUGCUCAUAAUAAGCUGCUGCUGGAGAAGGUUGUUAUGAGACAACUUACCCUGUGAAAAGCAUCUAAAACACUUGAUGAAUUAGGACCAGCAUCAGGACCAGAACCCCCAUAACGCUUUGCUUCCAUAAGCCAUCUUGAAAUUCCUUUGACAAACUCUCCCUCAUCAACAAACUGAUCAUUGGAUGUAUCAAAAUCACUCAUCACUUUGUCCACAGCCUCAUUCUUAUCCAAGUCUAUCUCCUCAAACUGAAUUCCUACAAUCAAUGCUCUUAAUUCGGCUUUUGAAAGGUUCCCAUCGUGAUUCUCAUCAAUUGUAUGAAAAAGCCUGUGGCAGUACCAAUCAUGUGCUCAGGAAAUAUAAGUCAUACUAACAGCAUGCCUGCAUUUGAUAAAACACUUACUUUCUUAUAAUUUCUUCAUUAGGUUCACCUUCCUCCGUUAGGAGCUUUCCGAGUGCGCGCUUUCUUAAAUGUUUAAGAAGUCCAGAUAUUACAUGUUUAUGCUUUGCAUAAGCAAGUCGUCUCUUUUGUAUCCAAGGCACAAAAACCUGCACCAAUAUUUAAAAGAAAAGUUGAGCAUCAAUACAGAAAGGAGACCAAGAUUCCUUUUUCUUUUGUAUUUUUAUGAAUAACAAUUUUGUCGAAUCUAUUAAGAGAAAGGCAGAAACCGAUCUACAAGUGGAUUAUAAAUUGGAAAGCAGAAAACAAAAAAUCUAUAAAAUCAUGAAGGAGAAAACCUUCCCUCCAUAUGAUACAACAAAAAUGGCAAUUCCACAAUUCAAUUUUAAAAUUGCCAAUCCCAAUACAUUCUACUAGAAUAAUAAUAAUAAUAAUAAUAAUAAUAAUAAUAAAUAAAUAAAUAAAAUUCAUAUUAGCUAACUCUAUGGCAAGAAAAAAAUACUCGCCAUUGACUGUAACAAUCCCGGUUAUAUUACUCAGCCGCUGACUAAGACAGCCCUAAAUUUUCGCUUUUUAGAUAGAAAGUCUGUUCCUAAGGCCUUGAAAACUCAAAUACGCAAAACUUUGUAAAAUGUAAGGAAGGGUGUCUUUGACUUUGCAAUAAACUAUAACAUGCUAUUUAUCCAAAGAACAGCACAUUAUAGCAUGAAUAUAGUUUCAAGUUUAAAUUUCCAAAUAUUUCCCUCAGACAUCCCAAACGCUUCCAUUUUCAGGAGAUAAUUGAUAGAUAAAUGAAAAUAGAAAAUAUUUUAGAUUAAUUAAUGGUGCAUUUGACAAAAGGGACAUUGUUAUGAUUGAAAUAUUUUGAUGAAAUUUUCUCAAAAAAGAAAUCUUAUAAAUUAUCUGUGAAUGGAAGAGAUUCUUGAGCGCUUAUCAAUCCAUAAAUAAAGUCAUACAAUUAAAAGUAUUCAAGCAUGAAACCAAGGGAAUUUUCAGAUCCAUUCCAAAAAAAAUGAAAAAGCUUUAGAGACAUGUUUUAGAAAACAGCAGGAACAUUUGGAAACAUGCUGUAAUCAAUUGUUUCAUUUUCUUGAACGUAAACCAGAAAACAUCAUUUUGAUGGUUCUUGGAAGGACAUGAUGAUUUCAAAAAGAAGUUCUCAAAGCAAGGAGGUUUCCAGAGAUCUAAGUGACAACAUGUCAACAUUAUUCAACUUUCUGGCCAUAGUUGCUUACUCAUAAAACAAAUCAUGAAUCUUUUUUCUAUUUUUCCAUAUCAAAUCAUGUACUGUAAGAUUUUUAUAUAGUGAAAAAAAAAAUUAAAAAAAAAUUCACACAUGUACAUAUUUAUUAGAAGCAUGAAGUAUAGUAAUAGAUAACCAAUUUCAUGGAAGAUAGUAGGAUUUAAAGAGUUAAACUAUGUCUGAUCAUAUGAAAACAUUGGAUACUAGAGGUUUAAAAAAAAUAUUCAAUUUAACAAACCUGAGUUUAAUGUAUAGGAAUUUCAUGAAUUUAGGCCCUAGUUGGAUUGACAAAAUGAUGAGGGGGGUGCACGAGAGGUUCAAAUUUAAUCAAUCCUUUUAACUGUUGAAAACAUGAUUAAAAUUAAAAACCAAAGUGUAAUUAAAUUUGAUGACUGCCAAGAAAAUAAUUACCUGGUACAAGCAAUAAGUAAUCAAUAAUAUAAGGGAGACAAUAAGCGCAAUCAAGACUGCUAAGCGUCUUGCUGAAGUUGAAUGUAGAACUUGAGGUAGUUGGACAAUGAUAAAUGGGAUGACUGAUAUCACCAUGAUGAUUGCAGCGUAACUAGUCCAGAUAUCGGUACUAACACCAGAACCUGUGAAGGAGGGAAUUAUUUUAAACAUGUAGCACUAUAGUCAUUAAUUCAAUAUUUUUAAAUCUGUUUAUACUACGGCAUCAAACACAGUUUAAGGAUGUGUUUUUAGUCAUCAACUUUUGGGAUAUGUGAAUAUCAUUCCUGACACUUAACUCAGCAGUAGGAUGACAUUUACCAUCACUUAAAUGGAAUUAGAAGAUAGCAAAGAAAAGCAACUUAAAUUUAUACAAGUCUCAAGGGUAUGUGUAUUUUAGAGAAUAUCUAUUUUCAUCAAUCACACUUUUAAAGGUCAACAUAGUGAUAGCUUAAAUCUUCUACAUUUGACUUUUCUAGUCAUGUAACAGCUGCAAAGUUAAUAGACAUUCUAAGCCCACAAAAAUUUUGCUAUUAAGGAAUGAUAUAUAGCAAAUUUGGUUAUUGACCAACUAGCUCCACAUAUUUCCAAAAUACCCUUACUUGAUAGUUAUACGCAUGAUGUAUAACACGUGGAAGAAAUCAAGAGAGACGGAUGAAAAGUUAAAUAUGAAGGUAUAACACAGGAGAGAAGAAAAUUAAGAGAAGAAGUUGAAAAUGUAAUUUAUUGUGGGAACCACUAUCUUGUUAAAUGAUAUUAGACACUAAUUCAUCUGUAAAAUAUAAAUAUGCUCCUUAUUACACCAUGUAAUCCAUAAGUCCAUCAUCAAAUUAUUAAAUUAAACAAAUGUCCCUGCCUUAAUCUUAACAGCAUGCAACAAAUGCAGUUUUUGAGUGGGCUUGCGACUGCCAAAAAUGUAUACAAGCCAGAACUUAGUAGUUUAUCAUAAAGAAAUAAUAAAUGAUAUAGGAUAGCACUCUGCACAGGUAAAGGUAUAUCGACAUGGGCAUACCGGUUAGGCUAAAUCCUUUGGUAUCUUGUGAGUCUUUGGCAACUGAAUCCUGAAGGUCACACUUGCCAACAAUAACACAAGUUCCCCAUAUUAUUGUAAGGAGCAUUACAGUUGAUCCAGCAAGCAACCCCAUUCCUACAGAGACCUGACUCUGUGCAGUUUCUGUACUUCCAGACAGGCCAGAUACUACAUGAAAUAAGAGAGUUCAUUAGAAGGAACAUGGAGAUCAAUCAUUAGAUACAUGACUACAAUGUCACUACAAAAAGGAUAAAACAUAAAAUGAAAAUAAAUAAAAGGAUACAGAACUAUAAAAGAACAUGCACGUUCUCCCCGUUAGAAACAUGGAAAAGAAAAUUUAGAUUUCGGAAACGUGGGGAUACAAGGGGUGAGCAGCAUCAUAAAUUAAUCACUGCAAAGCAGUGAGCACUACUGAUUUUAGGCAAAAGCAGGCAUGACUAGUAUAUAAGACAAACCAAACCAUCAAUUCAAGAAUCAAAGCAGAGAAUUGAAUAUUUACUAAAGCUGUCAAUGCAUAACAUGGUAUAAUUCACGCCCUUCAUACUAUGGGAUAAUUGAUUAUUCCAUCCUUUGGUCCUUUUACCCCAACCAAAACUCCAAAAUACCAUUCUCAUUUCAAAGUGAUAGUUCCAAAAUUUGUGCGGCAGCACCAAUGAGCAUUUGGGCUAAGGCAUAGGGUACUUCCAAUCAAGAUAAAGCAUCAGACAUAUUCAGAAGGUUUCCUCUACUGUGUAUCUAAUGUGAUCAUCAACUUAAACAUAGAUUUCAGAUUGUUAGAAGAUGCUCAUUCAUGAUGUCAUGUCAAAGUUAGCGCUAAAAACUUCAUCCAUGCUCAAAGUUGGGAUCAAAAAAUGGAAAAAAGGAAAAAAAUAUUAAGAACCAAAUCAUUUGCAGAACUCUUGCUCUAAAAAUAAAGUACAAUGUUGGGGAUAUUACUUAGCAGAGGAAUUUGCAAAACAAUGGCUACAGGACAAAGGAAAGAACAAAAGAUCGUUUACCAUCCAUCUCAAAUGGAUCUUUCACUGGGUAUCUCAGACACAAGAAACAGAGAAACUCCUACCAAGAAACUCCAAACCAAAAAAAAAAUGAACACAAAAAAUUCUGGUUGAUGUGUUCUUAAAUUCAACAGCUGAAAUAAAACACUGUCAGCAAAAAGUUUCUUGGAACAAAUUACUGCACAAAUUCUGAAAUAAACAAAAUACUGCACAAAUUCUGAAAUAGAGACGAAUUAUAACAAAUAUUGAAAUUAAAUUAAAAUUUUGAAUCUAAGAAUUUUUAUAUUUGGGGGCCCUGAUUCCAAAAGAGGGAGAGAGAGAGUUAAGCUUAAAGGGUUUUGUUUCCUUUUCCUUAGUUUCUUCCAACGGUCCGACCCCAGUCCAGGGUAUAUCCUCCAGCUCACACAGUACAGUUAGAAAAUUAUUCCAAAAAAAAAAAGGGUCAAACAAGAACUCAGAAAAAUCAGAUUCUGAAUUUACUUCUCCUGUCAUUUUCUAAGGCAACAAAUAGUAAAAACAAUCUUUAAAAGAAAAGAUCAGAAAAUAAGAAGGAGAAGAAAACACUUGAUUUACAUUCUUUGUAGCUGAUUGAUUUUUCCCCUUUUCAAAAUUAAAAAAAAAAAAAAAGAAGGUUGCUGAGAAAAUGUUGUAAAAGAAAAUCAAAGUUAAUCUGGAAUCUUCAGAGUUUUUCAACCCAUAUAAAAGAAAAUAAAAAAAAUUAAAAAUAUAUAGCGAGAAAUGAAUGACCAAAUUUCAUUGUUAUCAUUUUUCUUCCUCCAAUUUCUCAGCAAGAAACAGAGAAAAAAGUUUAUGAAAAACAAAAAAAACCAUAAGUGAAUCUGAACAAAAACAAUGUAAAACAAAAGACCCAAAUCCAAUCUUUCCGCUUCCUCCAAUUUCCGGGGAACAAAAUCAGAAACAGAUACGCCGCUUGAUUACCAAGAAAAUGAAAGAAAAAUUAAAAACUUGGUAGCAGUGAACACAAAAAAAUGAAAACCUCCCUUAAAACAACUACUUCACCUAACUGUUUCGAGCAUUUAAUUUUCAAUAACGCCAAAAAAAAUGACGGUUCUGUUCUUUUCCUCCACUUUCUCAUCAACCCAACGGUCAUUUUACCAUUACCUACACUUUCCCAGUAAAAGAACAAAGAAAAGAGAGCAAAGUCCGUACCAAGGAUAAGCAUGGCAUCGGGAAGAGCGCCGAGAAUGGGAAGCAAGAGGCCACCGACCAGGCCAGGACCCAAGAGUUCAAGCAGGAGCUCACUGCCGGAGGAAAGAUAGGUUGCGGCGAGGAACAUGAGGUAACCAUAGACCAGGAUGAGGAAGAGGUUACCCACUGUUGUCGUUGUGCAGGGCAUGAAUCCGUACGUCUGAUCACAUGAAUCCGAGGCUGAAACAGCGGAAAAUGAUCUGAGAAGAAGAUAAGGCGAGCCAUCGCGGUGGUCGUGGACGCCGUCAGAGACUAGGCCGGUGGACGAUGUGCGGUUGCUUAUGACUCUGCCGUCGACGGAAGCGCCGGCGGCGAGGAGCAGAAGGAGGAGGACGGAGCCGGAAGCGGUGGUGGCCAUGGUGGUGGAGGAGAGCGAAGAGUCCUAUGUGGAGUUUAUUUCCAUAUAUAUGGAUUUGGAUGUGGAUGGAUGAACCGCGUGUGAUGCGUGUCUGAACCGGCGAUCGAGUUUUAGUAUUAUUAAAUGUAAGGAGCGCAGCAGGUAAUGAAGGGUUCCUGGUUUUUCCAUUUUAGGUAAAUGGAGGUGUUCAUUUGUAAUUAUAUAAUUUAAAAGGAAUGUUUUCAACUUUUUUUCAAAUGAUUAAAAAUAAUAAUAAAAAAAUAUAUUUUUAGAAAAAAAAUUAAUAAUUAAAAUUAAAAAAAGUCAAAUAAAAGACAAAUGGACUUAUAACUGUUCUCCUCGUUUAAUUUUUUUAAUGAGAUGAGAUAUGAAUUAUUUUGAAUAAAUGAGGUAAGAUUGGGAUAAGGCAACCUGACUCUAAACAUAAUUUUCUCCAAAAACUUUAAAUUAUAUUUUAAAAAUUAUAAUUAACUAAAAGAUUAACUAACUAUUUAUGUAAAUCACUCGUAUUAACCUUAAAUUUGUUUUUAAAAAAUAUUAAAUAAAGAAAAUUGAGAAAAAAAUGGUAGAAUAAAUAAUUUUAGAAAUAUUUUAAUUUUAAGAUAUAUAAGCACUAAACAUGCUAAAUUUGAUUGUCUUUUUUAACUAAAUUAUUCAUGUUUUCCUAAAAAAAUAUUUGUGUUAUUUAUGUUAUUCAAUUUAUAUUUCUGAAAAAAAAAGCUGAGAAUUGAAUGGGCCAAAAUGGGACAAUAAUAGUAAUUAAAGUAAAAAAAAAAAACAAAAUGAAAUGAUUGCAUUUUUUAAUUUAACCGUUGUAUCAUACUCCAUUAUCUACAGUAACUGGUGGCUUUUCAAAAGUUAAAAGAAUAUGAAAAGUUGGAAGAUAUCUUUGUUGUGAAUUAAUAAGAAACAAGAAGAUAAUAAAUCAAAAUUAGCAUCUAAUAUACACAAUAAAAAAGUUAAAAAAAAAUAUGCUUAAUUUUUACAUUAAUUAACCCAAAAAAUAAAUCAAAAUCCAAAAAAAUAUUGCUUUAUAUAAAUUAUUUUUUAAUUUAUGCACAAAGUUAUUACAUAUUUAAAAAAAACUUUUGUUUUCAUAUAAAAUAAUAAUAAUAAUUACUCACGCUCAUGUAUCUGACAGAAUUACGGGAUCAAAUAAACAAACGGGAUCAAAUAAACAAAUAUCUCAUACAACGCAAACAAAUCUCUACACAAAAAUUAGGGAUGAUUUUGAUAUCAUUUGUAACAACUUGCAUUAAAUAAUAUAGAUAUUGUCGUUUAUCGCUUUGAACCUGAAAAGAAUCCUCGUGAAUUUAAAACACGUUUAUAAAAUUAAGAAAAGUUCAUAUUUAUAUAAUUUUAUGAAUUUUUUCUUGUAAUCUAAUGUUAAAUAUGAUAAUAUUAUUAUUAUUAUUAAAAAGCAAUUUUAAUGAUACUAAAUGAGAAAAAUAAUAAAUAGUAGGAACAUGAAGGACCGAGAAUAUACUUUUUAUAGAAAAUAAUCGAGACAUUGAAUAAUAUUUCUCAAAAGUUUCAAAUCUAACUUGAUCUAAUUUUUUAUUUUUUAUUGCAAAUGCAUUGGACCAUAGCUAACAUUUCCAACGGAUCAAUCAAAAUCACGUGCUCUCAUGUUUUUUUAACAUCCCUAUUAACCUGAAUUUGUUAUUUCUUAUGUCCCACCAACUUCACUUUAUUCUUGGCCGUUAAUUUCCUGAUUUGUUCACACACCCAUGUCGGCCCUUUCUGUGACAAAUUAGAUUACGUGCCAUCAACACCAUGUGAUCAUAAUAGAAAAUGAUCGUAUGGUUAAGGUUUGUUGUGUUUCUACUAAUGGUCUUAUAUGAUGUACUUGAAUCGUUAACCGACCAAAUCAGCAUCGAUUGAUGAUUUCAAAUUUCCCCACUUCACAUCAUAUCUAAAAUUUAUUUUUGAAAAGAAAAUAGUUAAACACGUCUUGGUAAAAUAUCUUUAUCUAAAAUAUUUCUAAAAUGUAAAUUUUAUAAGUGUAUUUAAAUCAAAUUAAACGGGGAAAGGUGGGCAUGCUAAUUUUCCAUCCCCUUCAGCUUUUGUUUUGAAAAAAAUUUAAAAAUUUUAAUCACAUUAAAAUAAAUAUAGUUUUAUAAAUAAUUAAAAUAUUAUAAUUAUUAUUAUUAUAUAUUAAAAAUAAGAUAAUUAAAUUAAAUUAUUUUUUAAAAUUAAUUUUAUAUAUAAUUAGAUUGAGAUGAGGCAAAACAAGACAAUUCCUAAACUCGACCCGAACUCAUCCCAAAUUUAUUUAAAUUCUAAACCCAUCCCGUUAUGUGUAAGGCAGAUUUCCCAAAAAGCUUAUCCUCAUUUGUUACAUUUUGUAUUUUUUUAAAUAUAUAUAUAUAUAUAUAUAUAUAUAUAUAUAUAUAUAUAUAUAUAUAUAUAUAUAUAUUUUGCUUAGCUCAUUUUUGAGAAAUUAAAAGUUAUAUUUUAAACCAAAUAUCAACAUUUUCGUAAGAUUUAACUUAUAUUAGAACUUCUGUAAACUUUAAUAAAACUUUUAUAAUAGUUUUUUUUUCAAUGAACUAUUUUGAAUACAAUUCUCGAUCAUUAACUCAUAAACUAAAUAAACACACGAUUUUAUGCUUCUAUGGUACACUUCAUUGUAUAUAUUGACAACUAUGUUUCAAUGAUGUUUUUAUUAAAAUUAAGAAUAAUUUUGAAAAUUUGAAAUUUGCUUAUCCAUUCACAUUUAAAAAGGAUGCAUUUAGGACUUUUUUUUUUAAAAGGGCAAUAAAUCACACUUAAAACAUGGACUCACAAAUGAAAGUUUUAUUUUAAACAUUCUUAAAAUUAGUGAUUAAAGGUCCAAUUUAAUUGGGUUUUGAAGAAAAAAAAAUCAACAUGAUCAGUUUAUAUUUAAAUCAAAUCAAAUCAAACUCUCAAUGAUAGAAAAACUAAACAAAAUCAAACCCAUAUUAUUCAACAUUGGUUUGUUCGAUUUAUAUAAUUGAUUGAAUGCAAGCUAAUUUAUGUCUUAAGUUCAAUUAGUUUUUAAAAUUAUAUUUGACAAAAAAAAUAUGAAAUGUUAAUUAUUCUUAGAUAACUAAUUAAAAUUUAUAUUUUAUAAACUUGGGUUCCUAUUUUGUGAUUUUUUUAUAUGAGUGUAUGGAAUCAUGCUUUUCCCUUAAAAAUAAAAAAUUAUGCAAAAAUAUUAUUGUAAAAAUUGCAUGUAUAAUACUAAUAUUAAAUUAUAAUUAUUUAGUAAAUUUUAUUAGCCCAAGUGAUAUUUAAUAGGAGGGGGGAAGUAUUUGUUGGCUUACUCAAUCUCAUCUCGCGCAAGUGAAAAUUAAGUUUUGUUUGGAUUAUCAUCAUUUUGGAGAAAACAACAAAAGGAUGAAAAUGAUAAAAAUAAAAAUAAAAUCAAAUAAUUUAAAGAACACGAUCUCAUUUGUUGGCUUUAGAUUAUUUGUACUUUAAAAGUAAUUUAAUUUAAAUUAUUAUAUAAAUUAAGUAUGUUUGAUAAAAUAAUUUAAUAUUAUAAUUUAUAGUUAAAAUGAUAUUAAGUAUUAGGUAAAAAUAAUUUAUUUAUUUUUAAUUUUAAAUAUUUUUUGUUUUAUUUUAAGAUUAAUGAAAAUAAAUAUUAAAUAAAAUUAACGAUGAUAAAUAUUAAUUAUAAUUAGUAAGGACAAAUAUGUCAAUUUGAUUAAAUUUUAUCCGACGUCCACUUAAUCUUCUAAUAUUAUAUUUUGUUUUUAUUUGUUUGCAUUUUAUGAUGGGUGCUUUGGAAUUUUCAUGAGUAGUCACACCGGCGCGUCCGUGACUAACGGACACGUACAACUCGACGGACACGGCAGUGGGCCCCACAUUUUAGGUUGGCGAACCGUGCACGUCGGCCGAUAAUACCCAGUUACCCAUUUCCGUAUGGUGACUUUAGACAAAAGUGUGAUGCGCUGUCAUCCAUGUGACGACAAAAAAAAAGAAAAAAAGGGUUGGAUAAUGCUAAUGAACAUCUCUCAUCUCUCCGGUUUUCUACUGGCCAAUCAUAUUUCGGCACGUCAGCAAUGAGAUAAGGUGGAAAUUUUAAUUCUUUUACUUAUAAAUUUAAUGUAAUGAAGCAUUUGUAAAAUUUCUUCCUAUUUAUUAAUAAAAUUUAAAAUUAUUCAGUUUAAGGCCAUAUGUUUGAUUAAAAAAAAUUAAAGAAAAAUAAUUGGGAAAGAAAAUAAAGAGAAAAAAUAAAUAAAAAAUAUAUUUUAAUCUUAUAAAUUAAUUGUUAUAAAUUUAUUUUUAGUAACCAAACAUACUAUAAAUUUAUUAUUAUUUUUUUAUUUUUCUUUUCAUGAUAUUUGAUAUAAAGAUUUUAAAUUAAUUAAACAAUAUAAAAGCCAAUGACAUGAAAAUAAAAGGUAAAAAGGUUUACUUAUCUGGGCCACGUUAUAUAUAUCAUAAAUUAAAAGUCACAAUAAACAUUAAAAAAGUUUUUUUGAAAAAAGAAAAAAAUUAAGAGUAUGCACGACAAUAAAUUUAAGAAAUGUUUUUAACAUUUCUAAUACUUAAAUUUUUUUUUAUUUUUUUAAGAGUUUGUUUGAUAGUGAUUAUAGAAAGUGUUUUUAAUAUUUUUAGUACUUGAAAAUUUUUAUCAUUAAAAUGUUAGAAAUAUUAAAAACGUUUUUUAGAAUUAUUCCAAAACGUAGUCUAAGUAUUAGAAAUAUUAAAAACACUUUUAAAAAAUCAUUCCAGAUAAACUCUAUUCUAAAAAUACUUUCGGAAAAAAUACUAUCAUUAAAAAUACUUUGAGUAUAAUUUUCUAAAAUCAUUAGUAAACAUACCGUUCUUUAAAGUGGGUCUUCCACUGAUUUUGAAAAGUGUUGCUAAUAUUUUUAAUACUUAAAAAAUAAAAAAUUUUAAUUAUUAAAAAUAUUAAAAACACUUUUCAAAUCACUAAAAAACACAUUCUAAUAAAUGAUAUAAAUUAAUUAAUUAAUUAUAUCCUCUAUCCAUUUGUACAUGGCAGAGAAUUUGUGGAUUACCUUAUUUAUUUCCUGUUCACAUUAUUAAAAGUUUUUAUUAUUAUUUUUUGAAAUUAAAUUAAUCAAAGGCAUUCAAUCCUAUACCAAAAAGCACUUUUCCCUUCAAAAAAUAACAAAACAAAAUAAGUGAAAUUUUAAAUUGCUAGAUGAAUUUAAAAUAAUAUACAUGGAAUUGUGUUAAAUAAUAAAUUUUCUUAAAAUUGUAUUCAUGAAAAUAUUUAUAAAAAAAAGUCUUUUUAAGUUUAUUUAUCAUAAAAAAUAAAAAAUAAAAAAUUAAAUUUUAUGUAUUUUUAAAUUAUUUAAAUUUUAUAUAAAAAAUUAAAAUAAAUGAAAUGAAUAUGAAAUAGUAGUUUUGUAACAAGAAUCAAUGUGAUGCUAAGGAACCGUGUGAAUGCAUAUUGUAAGAAUAAUUUUACUUUUUGGAAAUAAAAACUUUGAAAGUGAUAGGUUACCAAAUUUGGAUAUUUUUUCGGGGACGGUGUUGGUAAAUUUAGAAUUUUUUGAACAACCUAAAAGCACUUUUUGAUAAGUCAAAUUUCAAACUGAAUCCAGGCCCUCAAUCAGCAUUAACUGAAUUGUGGAAAAGUCAACAAGUGGUUUGGCAACCAAGAAAAUGGCUAAAAUUAAAUGGCUUUAUCAGUGUAUCACCAAGUGGAUAUUUAUGAUAUUGUCUUGUGUCUAUCCAUGAAAAACUCUUCCUUUAGGCUGGGAAAUAUGAGAAGAAAACAAAAUACAAGAUUGAGUUUAGGAAUCUCUUUGUGAUAUUUUAGAUAGGAGAGUUAAUCACGCUAUGUAAGUAUAAGAUUCUUUUAACUUUAUAGAUAUUUUUUAAAGUCGUGAAAGUUUUUUUGUAUUUAAAAUAAAUAAUAUUUAUACGAUUGGAAUCAUAUAAUUACAAAUGACAUUAUAAUCGAUCUCUAAUUUUGAUGUGAAGGUUUGUUUGAUCUUACAAGCAGUGUUUAUCUGUUUGACCCUAUAAUUUUCUGAAACACAAGGAAUGCACUACAAAGAUAUUGUGUCUGUAAUGUGCACACAUUUAAAAAUGGUGAGACCUUUAAGUUUAGAACAAACAAUAUUUACACCAUUAAAAACGGAUCAUUACAUUAUUUCUCCAUCAUUUUUAAAAUAUAUAAAAUAUUUUAAACCCCAUACCUCUUGUUUUUUGUUUUUUUUUUUGCCUUACAAAAAAAUGAUAAAAAUUAUAUGUAUAUACAAUUUUAUAUAUAUAUAUAUAUAUAACACCAACUAAUGUACUAUAUAUAUGUAGCAAUCAGGUGUCUAAGCUUCAAAUUUAUUAUUAUUAUUUUCUUGUAGUUAGAUGUUGACCACGUCCCUAAUUGGAAAUCUAGAAUACCCAAAGUGGGACCAAAUCUAAAUAAGAAAUUUAUAUUUUUUUUAAACCUCCAUCAAAGAUCAAGAAAUUUGACUAGUUGGGGGUGUCUCUUAUCCCUCCAUAACUAAAGUCCACUUGAGUUCAAUUUUUUGGGGUGGGUCAAAUGGACUAGUGGUUGAAAUUUAUGUUAUACAAAUUGAAUGGAGGGACAAAUUUGGAAAGGUGGAUUUGAUCAUCAACCAUAUAUUUUUUUCAAAAAAAAUGAAAUAAAAAUUAACUUAAUAAAUUUGAGAAUAAAUAAAAUAAAAUAAAAUGGGUUGGUCAUUGGAUGGCCACUUUUUUUUUUAGAACUUUUAUUUUAUUAAAAUAAUUAGAAAAUAAAAAUAAAAUGGGUUGGUCGGUGGAUAUACUUUUUAAAAAAAGAAUUUAACAUUGUUUAUUUUUUAAGAAAUAAUUAAGAAAAAAAAAAAAAACUAAAAUGGGUUGGUCAUUGAUUGACUACAUUUAAAUUUUUUUUUUUUUUAAAUAAUUAGAUUUGUUAAUUUCAGAGAGAGUCAAAGUAGGGUUGCCACCGUCCAUUUUUUUUAGUGUGGGGAGGCUUAGGAAUAAAGAGUCAUACCUUUGGCUUUAAUUGAGGAUCUCAAAAGGUGGGAUAGGUCAAAACCUAGAUGCAGAGUUGCCAUUUGUCAUUUUCAUUUAUUUAUUUUUUCUUUGGUGCUUUCCUCGUUAAGCGGGAAAGUGAAAUUACAAAACAAAAACACAAGGAUUCAUUCCAAACUCCAAAGUAAAGGAAGAUGUGGGGCUGGUUUAUUGCCAUCCCUUUUAGGGUACCUUGAUGUGGAGAGGUCCAUUGUAGUUGCCCUACACAUUUGUGAUUUUAAAUUUUAUUAAUUAUUAUGUUUUAAUUGGUAUUCAAGGGUGACAUUUAAAAUUCAUUUGGUGAUGAUUUUGAAAAACGUUUUUAAUAUUUUUGACACAUAAUUUUAUUUAUUUAUAUUAAAAUAACGAUAUUUAAGUGUUAAAAAUGUUAAAUAUACAUCUAAAAAUGAAUAAAUACCGUUAUAUUAUAAAUAAAAGAAAUCAUGAUAAGAGUCAGAAUUGUGAAUUUUAUUGAAGUGUUUAUAAAAAUAUAUGAGAAUAAAAUUAAUUAUUAUAAAGUCUUUUAUAUAAAUAAAUAACAAAGUUUGAUAUUAGUGUUGGCUAAAUAAAUUAAAAUAUGUAUUAGACCAUCUAUAUUUUUAUUUUUAUUUUUAUUUUUACAAUAAUUGUUAAUUUUUAAAAAUAAUUAGAUUAUUAAAGAGAGAUUCAAAGUAGGGUUCCACCUUCCAUUUGUUUAACAAAGGGUAGAAAUUAGGAAUAAAGAGAUACCUUUGUAAGAGAAUCUCAAAAGCUAUGAGAAGAAGCCAAACCCUAGGUUUAGGCGUGCCUUUACUCUUUGUUUCCUCUCCACCCACAAAAAACGAAAGGAAGAAAAAAGAAAGGGAAUAGAAUAAAGGUGAAUUUAAGGUAUUUUUUUCUUUUUCUAUUCAUUUUAUUAUAUUUAUUUUUAUAUUGACUUUAUCUUUUCAAAAGACGGGUUUAUAUGUAAAUAAAAUAUGAUCGAUUUAAAUUAUUUUUGGGAUAAGUGUAUUUAAAUUUUUUUAAUUAAAUAUAUAUAUUUUUUCAAAGUUGAUUAAACAAGGAUAUAAAUUUUGAUCAAAUUAAAAAAAAAAAAAUUGAAAAUUUGCAGGAUAUCGUGUUGUAACCCACUAAAUAUUGAAAAAAAAAAUCCAUGAAAUAUAAAACAAAAUGAUAAAACCUAGAGUGAUCUGUCUUUUCGUAUUGACACGUAAGCACCAUGCACCCAUUUUCUUCCCCACAAUUUCUGCCUAAACAUGAGGAGGAAGCAUUAUCCACGCACAUACAAAAAGCUCCAUUGAUUUUGCCUUGACCAAAAUAGUGGCAAAUGGAUAUAUCAAUUACCAAGAAAAGAGUAAAAUAAAUAAAAAGGUUCGUCAUUAAUUUCUAAUGUUUUAGUUGGUAUUCAUGCCAUUGAUGAGGCAAGUUGCUCCCCAUCUACCUAUCAAACUUUUGAUAACUUUCAUUGAUUUUAUUUUUUCAACUAUUUUUUUUUUCAAUUUGUUUAAGCUUAAUUAAGAUCCAAGGGUCUCAAAUUUUUUAAUUUUUUAAUACUUAUUGUUUAUAAUUAUUUUACAUAACUUCCAUAAAUAUAGAAUUCAAAAUAAAAUCUAUAAAUCCUCAAGGCUAGGUUUGAAUCAAAGAGAAAAAGAAAAUCAAAUAUAAUAAAAAUUAUUCAAAAAAUAAAUCUUAUUUUGUAUUCUCCUUUAUUUAUUUAUUUUCCUUUUUUUUCUUUAUCUCAAAAUUUUCAAAAGCUUGAGCAACUUAUCAUGCAAAUAAACAUUUUCUUCAUAAUAUCAAAUAUGUAUUAAUAAAAUGAUACCAUACCAUGUUAAAUGUCAAGAAUUAAUAAAAAAAGGGUGACUCUUUGAUAUCCAAAAAUAUUUUUCAAUAUUACAUUAAAUAUUUUUAUCCAAUUUUAUAACGGUGUAAAAUAAGAAUGUGAUAAAGGUACAAAAAGAUCAAAUAAUAUUAGGGGGUACAACUUGGGUAGAUUAGCCCGACCCAACCUGAUGUUUAGAUCGGUUUGAGCAAAUAUUUUUAAUACUUGGGGUUGAGCUUGAAUUAAGUUUUUUGAACUUGAACUUAAUUUUGAUUGGGUUUAAACUAAGAUUUGGACAACCAAACCCUAACCCAAACUCAUUUUUAAUAAACUCUAUUUGAUAUUUUUAUAAUAUUUAUAAUGUUUAUUAUCUUAUAUGAUAAUGUUUAUUUUUUUUAUAUAGAUUUUAAAGAAAAAAAAAUCAAAUUGUAAUUGUAUUACAUAUUUUUUUUUCAUUUUUUAUAAAGAUAAAUAAGUUUAUUUUAUUUUUUAAUUAUUAUCUUAAAGUUUUAUUUUAUUUACUAUUUAAAUUUUGAUAUAAAUAUAUAGAAUUAUAAAAAUCAAAUUUUUUAUAACCAUUAUGGAAUUUGAAUCAUACAGUCAAAUCAACUUGACCAAUUCGAAUCGAACCGAGUCAACUUGAGUUUAAUUUAAUCAACCAAAGUUUAGCUUGACCGAUCCGAGUUUAGAAAAAUGAGAUUGAGUUAAGUUUAGGUUGGAUGCCUCGAGUUAGAAGUUGAGUUGAGUUUAAGUUGAUUGUUUCUUAAUUUGAAUUUGGCUCAAGUUAACCAUUGGCCAACCAUCCCAUUUAAGUUACAAUCUUAAAUACUACUAAAAAAAAGAAGUGUGAGUAAUAUAUAUAUAUAUAUAUAUAGAGUAUAUCUUGAAAAGUGUUGAAAGUUUCAAAUACAAAAUGGUAAGAAUUUAAUUUCCCAUUAAUUGCAAAUUAGAUUUGAUAUUUACUUAGUAAAACCCCUUUAUGAAGUGGGCCUUUGGAAGUCGGCAAACCAAACAACCAAAAGCAAUGAACUAACAAACAGCAACUAACUCGAAAGAGUCGAAGUACUUCUGUAAGAUAUUUGAUGAGACACCAUGGACCCAUUGGCAGUUGCCCACCGUUCUUCCCAUUCAUUUUUGCUGGCAAAUGGUCCUCCCUCCAUCCCCACUGCCCCUUUUCCUACUCAACCUCAUUAUUUGGCUGUCAGACUAUACAGGAGGGAAGGAAAAAGGUUAUGCUUGGGUUUGAGAAAUGUUUGAAAGAAGACGAGAGAUAAAAAGAAAAUAGAAAAAAAUUAUAAAUAUAUUUAAAGUGAAUAAAUAAUCUUUUAUAAUUACUUUAAACUCAUUUAACUUAUUUUAACUUUUCGAUAUAAAAAAAAAUAAUUCAACAAGUAAACAUAAGAAAAAUUUUUCUUAAAUUUUUUUUUUUAGAAACUAAAUAUAACCUAAGAAAAAUAAGCAUCGAUAAGGUAGAGAUCUUUUUGAAGGGGCAUUUACCUAGAUUUUUUAAUGAACUUAUAGCAUUUAAAAAAGAAUUGUAAAAUUAAUAAUUAUAAAAUUAUGAGAUGAAACCAAACCCUAGGUUGAGGCAUGCCUUUACUCUUUGUUUCCUCUCCACCCAAAAAAAACAAAAGGAAGAAAAAAAAGGGAAUAAAACAAAGGUGAAUUUAAGGUUUUUUUUUUUCUCUUUUUCUUUUCAUUUUAUUAUAUUUAUUUUUAUAUUAAUUUUGUCUUUUCAAAAGACGGGUUUAUACAUAUAUAAAAUAUGAUUGAUUUAAAUUAUUUUUGGGAUAAGUGUAUUUAAUUUUUUUAAUUAAAUAUAUAUAUUUUAAAAAUUGAUUAAACAAGGAUAUAAAUUUUGAUCAAAUUAAAAAAAAAAAGUUUUGAAAAAUUGUAGGAUAUCGUGUUGUAACUUGUAACCUACUAAAUAUUGAAUCUCAGCGGUUGAAAAAAAAAUAUAUCCAUGAAAUAUAAAACAAAAUGAUAAAACCUAGGGUGAUCUAUCUUUUCGUGUUGACACGUAAGCACCAUGCACCCAUUUUCUUCCCCACAAUUUCGGCCUAAACAUGAGGAGGAAGCAUUAUCCACGCACAUGCAAAAAGCUCCAUUGAUUUUGCCUUGACCAAAUGGAUAUAUCAAUUACCAAGAAAAUAGUAAAAUAAAUAAAAAGGUUCGUCAUUAAUUUCUAAUGUUUUAGUUGGUAUUCAUGCCAUUGAUGAGGCAAGUUGCUCCCCAUCUACCUAUCAAACUUUUGGAAACUUUCAUUGAUUUUAUUUUUUCAAUUUGUUUAAGCUUAAUUAAGAUCCAAGGGUCUCCAAUUUUUUAAUGUUUUAAUACUUAUUAUUUAUGAUUAUUUUACAUAACUUCCAUAAAUAUAGAAUUCAAAAUAAAAUCUAUAUAAUCCUCAAGGCUAGGUUUGAAUCAAAGAAAAUAUUCGAUAAAGAGAAUCAAAUAUAAUAAAAGUUGUUCAAAAAAUAAAUCUUAUCUUGUAUUCUCCUUUAUUUAUUUAUUUUCCUUUUUAUUUUCUUUAUCUCAAAAUUUUCAAAAGCUUGAGCAACUUAUCAUGCAAAUAAACAUUUUCUUCAUUAUAUCAAAUAUGUAUUAAUAAAAUGACACCGUACCAUGUUAAAUGUCAAGAAUUAAUAAAAAAGGGUGACUCUUUGAUAUCCAAAAAUAUUUUUCAAUAUUACGUUAAAUAUUUUUAUCCAAUUCUAUAACCAUGUAAAAUAAGAAUGUGAUAAAGGUAAAAAAGAUCAAAUGAUAUUAGGGAGUGAAACUUGGGUAGGUUAGCCCAACCCAACUUGAUGUUUAGACGGGUUUGAGCAAAUAUUUCCAAUACUUGGGGUUGAAUUUGAAUUAAGUUUUCUCGACUUGAAUUUUAUUUGAUUGGGUUUAGACUAAAAUUUGGACAAUCAAACCCUAACCCAAACUCAUUUCUAAUAAACUUAAUUUGAUAUUUUUAUAAUAUUUAUAAUGUUUAUUAUCCUAUAUGAUAAUGUUUAUUUUUUUUAUAUAUAUUUUAAAGAAAAAAAAUCAAAUUGUAAUUGUAUUAUAUAUUUUUUCAUUUUUUAUAAAGAUAAAUAAGUUUAUUUUAUUUUUUAAUUAUUAUCUUAAAGUUUUAUUUUAUUUACUAUUUAAAUUUUGGUAUAAAUAUAUAGAAUUAUAAAAAUUAAAUUUUUUAUAACCAGUAUGAAUUUUGAAUCAUACAAUUAAAUCAACUUGACCACUUCGAAUCUAACCGAGUCAACUUAAGUUUAAUUUAACCAACCAAAGUUUAACUUGACCAAUCCAAGUUUAGAAAAAUGAGAUUGAGUUAAGUUUAGAUUGGAUGCCUCGAGUUAAAAAUUGAGUUGAGUUUAGGUUGAUUAUUUCUUAAUUUGAAUUUGACUCAAGUUAACCAUCGGCCAACCAACCUAUUUAAGUUACAAUCUUAAAUACUACUAAAAAAAAUGAAGUGUGAGUAAAUCAUAUAUAUAUAUAUAUAUAUAUAUAUAUAUCUUGAAAAGUGUAGAAAGUUUCAAAUACAAAAUGGUAAGAAUUUAAUUUCCCAUUAAUUGCAAAUUAGAUUUGAUAUUUACUUAGUAAAGCCCCUUCAUGAAGUGGGGCCUUUGGAAGUCGGCAAACCAAACAACCAGAAGCAAUGAACUAACAAACAGCAACUAACUCGAAAGAGUCGAAAUACUUUUGUAAGAUAUUUGAUGAGACACCAUGGACCCAUUGAUAAUUGAUUUUCAUAUUUAUUGGCAGUUGCCCACCAUUCUUCCCAUUCAUUUUUGCUGGCACAUGGUCCUCCAUCCCCAUUCCCCACUGCCCCUUUUCCUACUGACAAUUGUGUUUUGGAUCUAGUUGGGUCCAAAAAUUAAGAUUUGAUCCAUGAAAAUUGUAUAAUUGAUGGGAAGGAUAUAAAAUUUAAAGAGACCAAUAUAUCCUUCAAAACUAUUUUGAAUAUUUUCUACUAUAGUGUUUGACAAACUUUUUUAUUUUAAUUUUUUUAAUAAUUAUUAUGAAAAUUUAUUAUUUUUAGAAAAUAAUUUUAAAAUAUAUAUUCUAAAAAUAUAUCAUUUAAAAAAAAAUAAUUUUGACAUAUUUUUUGUUAAUUUUUACAUACAUAAUUUUAAAUAUAUAUAUUUUCCAAGAUGUUUGAUUUUUAAAUAAUAAUAAUAAUAAUAAUUUAUUUUUAUUUUUUUUGGAAAAUGGUGUAUUUUUUCCAAAUCACUAAAUUAAAUUAAAUUAAAAUUUAUUGAGGUUUACAAAAGGAAUAAAAUUUAAAUUAAUGUUUUUCCAUUUUUUUUUUCAUAAUAAAUAAAGGUCAUUUUUGGAAAGAUAAAAAAUUCAUAUCCUUCUUCUCAAUUUCCACACUUUCUCUAGGUCUUGGGUUGAAAUAGUGAACUUAUAUGGAUCAAAACUUAAUUUUUAGGUCCAACUAGGUUCAAAACAUAAUUGUCCCACCUCAUUAUUUGGCUGUCAGACGAUCAUUCAUCCCUUUAACAAGAAAAUCCAGGAGGGAAAGAAAAAAGGUUAUGCUUGGGUUUGAGAAAUGUUUGAAAGACGACGAGAGAUAAAAAGAAAAUAGAAAAAAAUUAUAAAUAUAUUUAAAGUGAAUAAAUAAUUUUUUAUAACUACUUUAAACUUAUUUUUUUUUUAAUAGCUUCCUACAACCAAAUAUAACAUAAAAAAACUAAAUUAAAACAAUAGAUUAAAAAUUAAUAAAUUUCUUUCAACUCAUUUUACUUGUUUUUUUUCUCAUUUACAUAAAGAUGAAAUAAUUUGAAUAUUUUUUUAACUAAUCAAGGUAUUGAAAAAAUUUAUUAUCUCAAAUUUUAAUUGUGAUGUUUUACAUCGAAUAUGAGAAAAAGUUCAUGAUACUAUAUUAAUAUGAUUUUUUUUUUUAAUCUUGUAGACGUGAUUCAAAGCUGUAAGGACCAUUUUUGGGUUUAAAACGAAUAAUAUUUACGGAUGGUUGGGUGUGGAUUGAUCAUUGACUUUGGUGUGCGAGAGUUUGUUUGAUCUUGUAGAGAGUGCUUAUUUGUUUGACCUUACAAUCCCAUGUGUUUGCAUAAAAGGAUGUUUAUAACUUCACAUAUUGAAUAAAUAUGUGAUAAAGUUUUUGUGUUGUAUCAGUAUGAGCUUUUCUUAACCUUGUAAGCAUGUUUUAAAGCCGUAAUGACUUAUUUUAGGUUUAAAAAGCAUAAUAUAUAUACAGUUAAGUGUGAGUCAUUACAUUAAUAUUUUUAAAAGUGAUUUUCAAAGGUAUAAGAUAAAUUUAAACUUUUUGUACAAGAUGCUCUACUUUAAGAUAAAAGUUUAUGAUUUCAAACAUAAGAGAUAGGAAGUGUAUCCAAAUGGAUGCUUAACAUAUUAUUAUUUAUUUUAUUUUUACAUUGAUCCAAUCAUAAAUCAGAAAUGAUAAAUAGGGUUUCGUAAUCUUUAAUUUUUUUGACUAGCUUACCAUUAUAAAAAUACUAAUGUUAUAUCAUAUUUUCACAAUUAUAAUGGGAUGUUAGGGUUUCUUAGUCUUAAUCGAUUUGAUAUUGACUAUCAAUCCAUAUUAUUCAAUAAUUCUUUUAAGCUUUUGGGAUUUUGAUAACAUGCACCCACAUUUUUUUUUUGUAAUAUUUUGUGAUGGGUUUUGAUUUUUUUUUAAGGGUCAAGAUAUGAUGAUUCAAGAAAAAGACAAGUAUUAAGAAUGAUUCUUCAUUGACAAGGAACCAAAUUGAAAGUUGGAUCAUGGUGAUAGGCAAUUGACAUAGAAAAUUUGAUUUGCCAACUCAUGACAUGAAAGCCCAAACUUGAACUUGAAGUUAGGAAACUAUAUACAAUUCCACUUUAUCAAAGUUGAAAUGAUCUUCAACCUCAAUGCUAGAUCUAGAUUCUUUCCUUAGUGGAAAAGCUUUGAACACUAUUCCUUUAAACUUAUCUCUUUACUUAUGGUUAUAACCAUUUUUCUUUCCUAUUCCAACCUUGAAUGGGGUUCACAUCAAUCCUUUGAUUUUUUUUUUGUUGGGUCAACCCCUUUGAUAGAUUUGAGCGCACAACUAAAAAGAAAUUGGGUCAUGAUGUGGGCUAGGGUCCAAAGCCUAGACAUGGUCCAAUUCCAAUUUAAGGGGUCCAUGGGAGGAAUUCUAAGCCCAUAAGCAUAGCAAAUGAAUGAUUUUUACAAUGAAGAACUUUAAGCUAUUAUUAGUUGUUGGAAAAUUUGGGGGAAAAUAUAAAGGGAAGAAAAAAUGAAGAAAAAAAAAUAAAAAUAUGAAGUUAAAAAUUCUUUUUAUAUGCUACUCAAACUCAUUUAACUUAUUUUAACUCUUCGAUAUAAAAAUUAAAUAAUUUUAAAAUGUAAAACUUUUAAUUAUAUAUAUAUAUAUUAUAUUUUCUACAAGACAAGUAAACAUAAGAAAAAUUUUCCUUAACUUUUUUCUUUUUGAAAACCAAAUAUAACCUAAGAAAAAUAAGUAUUGAGAAGGUAGGGAUCUUUUUGAAGGGGCAAUUACCUAGAUUUUUGAUGAACUUAUAGCAUUUAAAAAAGAAUUGUAAAAUUAAUAAUAUAAUGAAAAAAAUAUAGUGGAUCGAUUUAGCUCCAUAGAUGGUAGGUUGGUGUAAUAUAAAAUCGUCUCUUGAAAAGAUAAUUUUUUAUUUUUUAUUUUUGAUGUUUUCCUUCUAUAGAGGGAGAGGUGUGGCAUUUAGAGGGAUGUCGUCUCUUCUCACGUCAGUAUAUCGAGAUCAUCUUUUUAAGAGGCAAGUUUAUUUUUCUCAUCUUCAUAAAAAUAAUGAUAGAAUUAAAAUUGCUUUCGAAAUUGUCAUUUUCUAUAUUUUUUUAUUCAGUUGUAAUUAGGAAAAAAGGAAGAAAAAACCCUACUUACCCUCUUUCAUAACUUCAUCCGUAGUCCAACUACUAGAAUCAGAGAUCACCCUAAUCUUGGAUCACAUGCUAAAAGAAUUCUUUUGUCUAAUGAAGCACCGGUUUUUUUGUCUAAAUUUUCAGAGUAGAAUGCUGAAAUGCUCAUGGCACAUUUCACAAAAUUCAGAAUAAAACAAUUAAAGAGCAACCAAAAUAAUAAACAAAAAACUAAAUUAUAUGUCAAACAAUUAAUCAAUCAUAUUCUUCAUGCAACAAGGCCUCAAUCCAAUGAACUAACCAAAAAGCAAAAAAAGAAAAAGAAAAAAAAGAAUGAACACCAAAACUUCCAAAAAUUCUCUCAUUUUCUACCUUCAAUGGUUCUACUUUUAGAACCAUUUGGCAAAACCAUCAAGAGCAUAAACCAAAAGCAAAGACAAUGGAUACAGUAAGUAUGCAACGAUCGAUGUCCAGACUGGGAAGGUGGAGCGCAAGCUUGCAAACAUGCCCAUCACCACGCAUACGAUCAUAACAACGAGUACUUCAGCCGAGAAAUCCCAUGUCAAUUCGCGUACGUAAAUUAUGGACAAUAGUACUGAAAUCCCUAGGACAUUGUUCAUGAAGACUCCUCCAUAGAUCUGCAUAUCAUCACAUCACUAAGUAUUAAUCCUCCAAAGAUUAUAAAGCACUUAUACAGAUGCUAUCAGCCACAUUUCAUUAUCACAUGGACUAUAUAUACUUUUUUCUUUUUGUGCAUGUAAAUAUUAGCAUAUACUAGAUUGAUGAAAUGGAUCGGAAUAGUAAUUAUGGGGGGCAGACCUCAGAAAAUGUCAAGGAAGUAGUUCUUUCUUUUCUUCUACUCGCGGCGGAGAUCGCUGAAGUUGCAGCCCUAGCGUUGGUAGCUAACGGGACGAGGAUGAAUGCGAUGAAAAACGACGAUAUAUUAGCAGCUGUUGAGAAGGAUUGUACACUAUGUAUGAGGGGUUCUGCUAGAACAGAUAGAAUAAGAAUUCCAGCCAACAAAAGCAUUAUGGCCUUGAACCAUGCCCAAGGAGAUUUAUCAACUGGCCCUGCACUGGUCUGUUCUACCAACUCGUCUGUCUCUUUCCAAGCUUUCUGCAUCAUCAUGAAGUGUAUAAAUACUUUUAAUAUUGUUUCAAGGAGUCAAGGUAUUGUUUUUGGUGAAUACCUAACCCAAACCUAACCCGAACCUAACCCAAUAUAUAGAUGAGUUUUAACGAUCAUUUUCAAUUUUCGGCCCAAGCCUUGGACAACUCAAGUUUGACCCAAACUUCAUUUAAUAUUUUUAUAAUAUUUAUAAUGUAAAAUUUUUAAGAAAAAAAUAUUAAAUUAUAUUUUAUCAUAUAUUUUUAUAUUUUUAAAUAGAUAUAUAAAUUUAUUUAUUUAUUUAUUUUGCUAUCCUAAAAUUUUGUCUCAUUUGGGGUUUACAUUUUCAUAUAAAUAUAUAGAAAAAAUUUCUUAAAACACAUUAUAGAUGAAUUUUGAAUUUUACAACUUGAUCAACCCGGGUCUAAACUCACCAACCUAAACUUAAAAAAAUGGGAUUAAGUUGUGUCUCUUCCUUUAAAGGUAAAAUUGGGUUAAAUUUGGAUUUAUUUGUUUAUUUUUUAAUUUGAAUUUGACUUAAAUUGAUCAUCAACAUGAUCAAUCCGUCAAAGUUACAUUCACUUACAAGGAAUAUUUCGUCGUUCGGUUUGGGCGACUGCAGGGCCUGAUGGCUGGAAAUGUUAACCCAUUUGGCAAGGCCUUGGAUGAACUCCUCCUCAUCGAUUAAUCGGUCUCCAUUGACGUCAAGUUUUUCCAUUAUUCUUGCGACCGCUUCGUCUACGUCUAGCGGCAUGUCUCCAAACUUGAUGCUCAUAAUGAGUUCUUUUAGUUCAGCUUGUGAUAUGCAAUUGUCUCCAUCAAGAUCAAUUCUCUCAAAGAGGCUGUAAAUCGAAUUAGCGCAAGAGCCUUAGAACUAUUAUAUGGGUUCCAAGAAAUAAUAAGGAUAUGAAAAAAAAAUAGUAAGAAAAAUAAUUUUUUAUAUUUAAUUUUAAUAUAGGAAACAUAAAAAAAUUAAAUAUAAUUAAAAUUAAUUAGUUAAAAAUUUAUAUAAUUUUAAAUUAUUUAAUUUUUAUAUAAAAAACAUAAAAAUAAGUGAAAUAAAUUUAAAAUAAUAUAUAAAACUUGACAUUUUUUCCUUCAUAUUUUCUCUUAAGGUUUUCAUGAAUAAAAUAUGAUCUUAUAAAAAUUAAUAAUUCAAAAGAAUAUUCAACAUUUGAUUAAUCAAACAUCCUGAAUUCAAAUUUAUAAUUUAUUUGUUAUUACUUCCUAUCUAUUGAGCAUGCAUGAUAUAUAUUAUGACCCCAAAUCCGAACAACUUAAGAAAGUCCGUAACGCAACAUCCUUAAAAAAACCUUGUAACACGCAAGAACAGUCUAAUUAAAAGAAUUGUAAUAUGCUAUCUUACCUUUUUAUAUUUGCUAUAUCCGGCGUGUUAUCCUCUUUAAGCAGGCUUCCUAGGCCACUGUUUUGAACAUGUCUUAAAAUCCCAGACAUCAAUUUUUCCUUCAUUUCUUUUUCGUUCCUUCUCUUUAGAAUCCAAGGCCGAAGAACCUAAACAACAACUCGACCAAAUCAAAAACCAAAUAUUUGUUUGCUCAUUUGAAAAUGUUUUUAAAAACACUUUCAGUCUAAAUUUAAAGAAAAAAAAAAAAAGCUUCAACAAAAUUUGCAAAACACUUUUUAAAUAUUGAAAAAUAACUUUUAAUGUUUUGUCCGGAAAUAUUUGAUAAAUGAUUAUUCCAAAAACACUUUUAAGGAAAAUAUUUUCACUAAAUACUUAGAAUAGAAACACGGUUAAUAAACAUGCGUUUUAUAAUAAUUCUAGAAAGUGUUUUUAACUUCUUUUUUUUAAAUAUUUCAAGUAAUAGAAAGACUAGAACAACUUUUUAAAAUUGUUAUAGAUAGUCUUAACCCAUUUAAUAGUAAUUUUAUGAAAUGUUUUUAAUAUUUUUAAAACUUAAAUUUUUUUAUUAUUUAAGUAUUAAAAAUGUUAGAAAUAUUUUUUAAAAUCACUACUAAAUACAAGUGUAUGUUUGGUAGUGAUUAUUGGAAGUAUUUCUAAUAUUUUUAUUACUUGAAAUAUUAAAAAUAUUAAAAACGCUUCUUAUAAUCACUAUCAAAUAGAAUUUUAAUGUAAUUUAAUUUCACUAAAAAUACUUUGAAUACAAAUACUAUAAUUCGUUAGACAAUGAUUUAAAAAAACACUUUUAACAUAAUUAAAAGAGUUCUUGAACAAAACAAAAAGAAGGUAUUUAACAAAAUUUAAAAAACACUUUAAAAAAUCUAAAAUUAAAGAAUUAUAGCGUUUUCAAGGUAAACACUUGAUGAGCCAUUCUUUUCAAAACACUUAACAGAGAAAACCUUAUCAUUAAAAAUAUUCCGAAUAGAAACACUGUCAAGUGUACCAGCACUUCAAAAUCAACAUUAAUGUUGCAGACUUGCAGGCAUACCUGUUGUAGAUCUUUCAAUGAAUUAUUGGAGUAACUUCUGUCAUGCAAUCCUUUCUUUGUCUCAUCAAGCCAUUUUGAGAUCCCAGCUAUGAACUCAUCCUUUGUUAUUGUUCCGUCACCAUCAAUAUCAAACUGUCCUAGAACAUCUAGCACUGCAUCUUCCUUAUUGAUCAAGUGUGGUUUUCGAAACCUGAUCCCAAGAAGAAGCUCCUUGAUUUCAGCAGGCGAUAUAUAGUCAUCACCAUCAAGGUCUGUUUCCUCAAACAGCCUGCGAUUAGAUACAAGUAUAUGCUGUCAAACAUUUAAGUACAUAGAAAUACCGAAAAAUCAAGAUCAAAACAGUAUGGUAUACUUAAGGAAAGAUGAUCGCACCCUCUUAUAACACUUAUGUUCGGAGCUCCUUCGUCUGUGAGGAGUUUUCCUACAGCAUGUUCUUGGAAGUAUCGUAAAAUUCUUAUCACUAAAUGAUCAUGUUUUACGUACUCUAAUCUUCUUUGCUGAAUCCAAGGCUGAAAUAUCUGCAUAUUUUUCAAGUAAAAGUUUGAGGUAUAUUACAAAAAGUAAUGCAUCAAAAUGCAUAAUCCUAAUUCUUAAGUAAAAUUUUAAGGCACCGAAUCGAUUUCAUAAACUCCCGAUCCAAACGUAAGUAUAGAAAAUUUGUGUAGGUUAAUAAAGGUACAAAGAAAUGAGACAUAUAAUUAGAUAUACAAAAAAUAAAAUUAAAAUAUAAAUCAAUUUUGACCUAAUCAUGCUAAGGUACAAAUGAAUGACCAUUUUUACAAACUAUUUUCUUAUGACACUAAAAAAUAAUUUUAUAGUACUAAAAAUAACCUUAAAUAUGAUAUUGUAUAUAAGAUAGAGAAAAAAGUUUCUAAUACUAUAUAUGUAUGAGUUUCUUUUAACUUUAUAAACGUGUUUUAGAAUUGUGAAGACUUUUUGAGCUUAUAGUGAAUAAUAUUUAUAUAGUUAAGAACGAGUUGUUAUAGAAUAGUAUCAGAGUCAAUUCCUUACUUUGGUGUUGGAGUUUGUUUGACCCUGUUCUGGGUGUUUAUCUGUAUGAACUUGUAAUAUCAUGGAACACAAUGAAAACGUUAUAUUUAUAUGAGAGGAUCGUUGUAAUAUAUCACAUUUGAGAAGAAAAACAGUUAUUAAAUAUAUAUAUAUAUGAAUUCUUUUUAACUUUCUAAAUAUGUUUUAAAGUUGUAAGAAUUCAUUUAAACUGAUAAUAGACAAUAUUUAUAUAAUUGGAAGUGAGGUUUUAUACUAAACCUAAAUGCUAUUAUUAACCAUACAAAACCAAUCCUAGAAAAAUUGUUACUACUUUGUACCAAGAAGAUCGAAUGAAUGUUAUACUGAGAAUUCAAAUGGAUGUUAUAUGCUUCUACUGAAUUCUCAAUUUGAGUUCAUGUAUAUCGGACCAUUGAAUAAAAAUAUAAAGAAAUAGUAUUAAAGGUUUUUUUAAAAACUCUGAAAUACAAAUAAAUAAAAACUUUUUUGUCAUGAAAUUGUUUCUAAUGGCUAUCAUAUGCAUAUUGUGUUUAAGCUCUACUGAGAAUUAAUCCAAAAAGUUUGGAGAGUAUUAAUACCUGAUAGAUGAAGUAGAGGAGAAGAAAAAUAAGAGAAACAAUAAGAGUGAUCAAGAUCACAACGCGUUCCCCAUAAGACAAUUGGAAUAAUAUUGUGAUUUGGAUGAUGAUGAAUGGUAUUAUUGAUAGACCCAUGAUCCUUGCCAUGUACCCAGUUUCUUCAUCUGUUGCAAUCCCACUACCUUCAUACAUUUCACACAAUAUAAGGUUUUAUUUGAUACAUAUUUUUCUAAAACACUUUUCUAUUUUCUAAAAAAUAUAUUUGAUAAUUAAAAAAUAAAAAAUAAAAAAUAGAAAACAGUCUUAUAUUCUUAAAAUAAAAAAUAUGAUAUUUUUAAAGUUAUUUUCAUAAAUAUAGAGAAUGAUAUAUAAAAGUUAUUUAAAUUUAUUUAAAAACAUAGAAAAUAAAUUUAAAAUAUUCUCAACUUUUGUUUUAUAAAACUGUUUUAAAAAAUUGUCUUCAAAACCUGUUUUAAAAAAUGAUUAUCAAAUAAGGAGAGAAGAAACAUGUACCCGUUAACAUCAAUAAUAUUUUCCGAUAUGGUUUUUGUAAUAAAUUUGCAUCAACCGUAGCGCCCGAACCAGCGCCGGGAAACUCACAACUCCCAACAAUGACACAAGUGCCCCAAAGUACAGUGAGGAGCAAGAUCGUCGAUCCGGCCAACAAGCCGACGGCGGUGAGCACAUACUCUUGAGCAGUGUCUUUGCUGUUCAGAAGUCCAGACGCUGAAAUGGUUCAGAGAAAAACAUUGUUACAGCUAAUUAAUUUUCAUUGCACCAACCCAACCCCCUCCCCCCUUUUUUCUGAGGUAUAUAAAUUUUAAUUAAUUGAAAUCAAACUAUAUUCAAUGGAUGAUUCAUGAUUGUGGCAUCCACGAUUCAAAUAAUCAAAUAUGAGAAAUCUUUUGCGUGUUACCACAUACUUUUGACUACUUCAAAUCGUACAAAAUUUGACUAAAAAUCAUAUUAUUUUUCUUCAUUGUCUUUGAAGUUUAGGAAUUAGAUUAUUACACGACUAAUGCUGUUCAACAAUCGAUAUUAAUGAAGAUGAUGAUAAUGUGUACGAAUUUUUUUAAAAAAAAUAUUUUCUUAUUUUUUAUUUUAUUAUAAACAAUAUAAAAAAUAAAAUAUAAUUAAAAUUGUUAAAUUUUUUUUAUAUAAUUUAAAAUUAUUUAAUCUCUAUAUAAAAAAUUAAAAUAUUAUAUAAAAAUAAUUUAUUAAUUUUAUUUUAUUUUUUGUAUGUAUAUUUUAAUUUUAAAGUGUCAAACGGGGGUAGAUAUAUUAAAUGGAAGUGGUCUUCAGUCUCCACAUGACAUAUAGGAAGAAGAAGUUAGGGAUAAAAAACAAAAAUAUUAAAAUUUUAUAAUAAUUGAAAAUGUAAUUUUUGAAAAAUGAUAAGUUUAUUAAAACAAAUUUUUCAAAACUAUAAUUUUUUUUAAUCAUGUUUAAAGAAUUAGUUUAAUGAAAUACAUAUAAAGAAAGUUUGAAUAAAACCCUUAAAAUUUUAUCAUAUAUUUUCCUUGGUUUUUAUAAUAUAAAGAAAAAAAAGGGUUUCUAUUCAAUUAAAAUAGGAAAACAUAUUUAACAAUUGGAAAACAAAAAACAAUUUUGAAGUUAUUUCAAGCAUUCUUACAAUUUAAUUUUAGGAAAACACUUCCUAAACAAAGCCGUAAAUUUUAAUUCAAAAAUUAAAAAAAAAAAAAAAAAAAAAGGAAGAGGAAGAAGAAGACAUGGCAAAGAGUUGAGAAAACUUACCAAGAAGAAUCAAGGACUCAGGGAGAGCACCAAGGACCUGAAACACACUGGCACCAAACACCCCAGGCCCCAAAAUCUUGAAAAUCUGCUCACCCCCAGAUGCCACAUAUGACUCUCCAUGAAACAUCAAGUAUUCAUACACAACAAUUAGGAACAGAUGCCCAAAAAUAUUGUUGCUGCAUGGCAAAAACCCAUACAAUUGCUCACAUUCCUCUGAAGAAUACUCCAUUCCUCUCAACACCAAAACUGAAGACUUCUGCCCUUCACCCUCAUCAACCCCAUCUGAUACCAACUCAUGAGGAUACCCAUUGAGCCCUAGAGGGCGCCCUCUUACAUCAACAAUAAUGAAAAGGUAAAUAAGAAAAAUAGAGAAUGUUCUAUUUUUUGGAAUUUUCCACAUCUUGCAGAGAUGAACAAGUUGGAUGAGGAAGAAGAAAAUGGAGGAUGGGAUAUUUUAUGGAUAACAUAUAUGGGGUUUAUAUAUAUAUAUAAAUGUAUAAGUAUGAGUUAAUAUGUAUCCAUGAAUUCUUUGUAAUUACGUGAAUAUAUAACUUGUCAACAAGUUUAUGUUCAUAAAGUCAAGGACUUGUUCAUUAGUUUGAAUAUAUUGAUUUGAUAUUGGAGAAAAAGAAAAAAGGGAAAACCCCCAAAAACCCAUAUCCCCAUUUUCUUCUUUGAUGCAUGGCAGCCCUGCUAGGGUUUUGCACAUACAAAAGGAAAAUGAAAACCUUUGCAGACAAAAUUGAAAUAGAACCAUUUAUUGAUAAGAAGAAGAAGAAGAAGAAGAAGAAGAAGAAGAAGAAGAAGAAGAAGAAGAAGAAGAAGAAGAAAAUGUAUUUCAUUAAAAUAUACAUAGACCAAGUCCCAAGUUUUCUUUUGACAUAAGUUUUAUACAUGUAUAUGAUUAAACACGAGGUUGCUUGUAAGUUUAAUAGAAUUUACUAUGCUUAGACCGUUCAUGCCAUUGACCUAGCUGUCAAAGUCUGCUAAUUAGUGCUUCCACGUAUUAUUAUUGAUGAGGUGGUGGAUGGCAGCCAUCGAUCUUUGAGGUUGGUUGGUUUGAUGAGAUUAGGUUGCCUUGAUUUUGGGUUGGCUUGCGUGGAGUCUUGUUGGGGCGGCUCAUUGUCAUAUCAAAAGCUUGUGAAAUAGGAAACUCAAGAAAUUUCAAAGUUCUACAGUUUCUGAUAAAGCUUCAAAGAGGCAGCAUAAUGGUUUUUAUUUGAAACCUAAAAUCCAAAUAAUAUUUUUUUGUCGGAUUUUAUUUAGACUUAUUCAUAGUUCAAGUAAAAGAACAAAUAUGAUCUUAGUUCGUGAUACAAUAUCAAAUUCAUCUUUCAUCCUUUAAAAAGCUAAGAAUAGUCUUCGUGUUUGUUUUAUUUAUUUAUUUAAAUAUAAAUAUACAUAUAAAUUAAUUUAAUUUAACUAUAAAUACAACUUAAUAGUAUGUUUGUUUUUUCACAAUGAAAGUUGAGUGUGAGGGUUGAGAAUCAUAAGUAUGAUUAAUUAACAUUUUAGAUUAAAUAAAAAAUUACAUAUUUUAGAUUUUUAUAUUAAGAUAAAAAUAUUGAUAAACAAGUUAAAAUUUAAAAACAAACAACUGAAAACUGAAAGUAAAUUGCAUUUAACAUUAAGUUAAGAAACAAACACCACCUUAAUUGGAUAAUUAGAUAAAAUUUAUACUGUAAAUACAAUCCUUAGUAUCACAAUAUAAAAUAUUAAAUAACAUAAUAUUAUUUAGUUAUUUUUUGAAUAAUUUUAUUUGAAAUUUUAGGCUUAAUUUGAAGGGCCUAGUAAAGCUGGGCCCACUCAACCCAUUCCUGGCCCAUUAUCAGGGUAGGGCAUGGCCCAAGAGAUUACUACCCCCACUUUUGAAUUCAAGCUCUUUGAUUGUUUGAUCAACAUUCAACAUUCAACAUUUUUAUACUACUACUAUAUGAGGAAAGUUAUUAUUCCCAUUUUUUAUUGUUAAUAUUCACAUAAAAUUUUUCUUUAUUCUAUUAGGAAUAUUUUCCAUGAAUUUAGUAAGAAUAUAUAUAUAUAUUUUUUAUAUUUGAUUUUAUUAUGAAAAAUAUGAAAAAAUAAAUAUAAUUAAAAUUAAUUAAAUUUUUAUAUAUUUUCAAAUGAUGUAAUAUAUAAAAAAAUUUAAAUGAGAUAAAUAAAUUUAAAACGAUAAAUAAAAAUAUUUUAUUAACUUUAAAUUUAUUUUUAUUUUCUUUCCUUCUAUUUUCUUUUUCUUACAUUUCCCCUUAAUUUUUUUGAGUAACCAAACAUAACAUAAAUAAUUUUUAUUCUUCCUUUAUAUUUCAUACUACUAUAUACAAAUUAAACAAAGCAAUUCAUAUUUAUUUCUAUUUAAUUAUGAUUUUUUUUGAGAUUUUCCUUAUUCCAAAGAUAGUACAAAAUUUUACUUAUGUCUAGGCUUAACCUAAUCCAUUCAAAUUAAUUUCAUGAUCUCGAAGUUGUCUAACUAAACCUAUGUUCACUUGCUUAAGUUUUAACUUAAUUUUAAUUAGAGUAAGUCACGUUUAAGAUCUUACUUUAAUAAAUGGUUUUCAAGUUUGGGUUGAGCUCCAUAAAUAUCAACUAUUCUUCCCUUAAUUAUUAGAUGAUCAAGAGAAAACUGAAAAUUUCAAGAUCAACCAAGCCUAGCUUGUUGCCAAUAACCUAAAACCUCAUUUGGGCCAUGAGGGUUCUAACUUUGGAUAGGGUGUGUUGAGGCCCACCCAAUCCAUGUUUAGUGAAGGUUGGGAUUUUUUAAAAUUAUGAAUUUUUAAAAUAAAAUUAAUGACAGUGUAUUUUGAAAGGUGACAGUGUCAAAACUAUUUUUAAAAUUACAAUACUUUUUAAAACAUCAAUCUUUUGAAGAGAUAAUUUCAAUUCAAAUAUUAAAAUUAUUUUUUCAAAUAACAACUCCAAUAUUCAAUUAAAAUUAUAUUUUGAAAAGAAAUUUUUUGAAAAUGUUAUUUGAAUUAUUAUAUUUAAAAAAAUAUUUUUAAAUUUGUUGUUUUUUCCCCUCAAAAUCCCUGAGAGGUACAUCUCGUUACCUUCUCAAUGGCUUUCUUCUAUUUUUGAACCUUCUCUCCUGUCCUUUAGUAAGAGCAAGUUGGAAUAUGACAAUUCCAUACUUAUUCUACUGUCCAAAGUUUGUGGGCCCAAAAAAUACCCCCAAUGAAGAAUAAGAGCCAUAAGAAUAUAAAUAUUAAAAAAAGUAACCAUCCUUAUCCACCUUAUAAAAAUAUAAUUUUUUUUUAUAAUAAUUUCUAUAUUUAUUAUUUAUCAUGAAAAAUGCUUAAUUCGCAUGAAAAAUGCUGUGAUUUACUGUCUUAAAUUGAAGCUUUGCUUGUGUAAUUUGCAAUAAAUUUUACAUAUUCACUUACAAUAUGAUUUUUUUUUUUUGUAAUAAAGAUAUUAAAUUUAUAUAUAGAAACUAUUUCAUAAUUUAUUGUAUCAGAGUCCAAAAAUCAAGCAAAAUCCUUAUUUCCAGGAAAGGAAGGAGAUCGGAGGUCUUGAAGAAGUCAUUGCAGCAAAUGUUGAUAAUUCUCACCUUGGAAGCAAUGUCUCUUGGAAGUGGAUUAGAAUUCCAUUUGCAUUUGCAUAUAUUUGAAUUGGUCACUUGGAAAUUUUGUCUUUUUGUCAAGAAUCUCAGUACUACCACCCUAUACCAUUAAAUUUGCAAAUUAAAUUUUUAUGUAUUAAAUAUAUAUAUAUAUAUAUAUAUAUAUAUAUAUAUAUAUAUAUAUAUAUAUAUAUAUAUAUAUAUAUAUAUAUAUAUAUAAUUUUCUUGUAUAAGUAGAUGUCUUUCCAACCUAGGCACCAUUAAUUACUCAUUAUUAUAUUCCAACAAUCUAUCAAUUUCAACAUAUGCUUUGAUUUUUCUCAAGAUUCAAUUCCCAUCUCCAAGAGGUUUCACAUUGAAACCAUGCGACAAAAAAAACCCCACAACUCAUAAUUAAUUAAUAUAUCCUAAUAAAUUCAUUGUAAUUUAAUGUUUCCCAUAUGCUUAAUUUGUAUUAAAACAUUUUUUUAAUAAAUGGUGAGAAUUCUAAAAUAAAUUGAGAAAAAUAUAAAUAAAAUGACUUCUAUUACCAUAUAGUAAUCUUAAAAAAAAAAAAAAGAGAGAGAAUGAGGAAUUAUGAGACCAUAGAGGUGAUGAGUUAAACCUCCUUCAAAGAUUCCGUAGCCACUCUUUCAUGACUUUCUUCCUCAAGUGAACAGUUUAUUGAUCCAUAGGAAAAUCCAACAAAGAUAUUUUGUAUGAACCUUCAUGAGAAAUUAUCUCCCCAAAUACCAUUCAUUUUUGCGGCUGCACCCCAAUUUGACUCCAUGAGAUGCUUCUCCCAAUUAUUUGGACUUGCCUCACUCAACAUGCAAUCAAUCUUGAUUAGCUUGUUAAUUUGAUUUGAAAGUUUGGUUUGAUAAAUAAUUUAUUAAUACAUGAAAUCGAAUUAGAUUAAAACCUUAACAUACUGUCUCAUUGGUAAGCAGACAAGGUAAGCACAUUAACUCUGAUGGAUAAAUUAUGAUUAAUAUUAUACUUGAACUCUACAUAAACUAAAACCUUAACACCCUUUGCUUACCUAUCUAGAAAAAUAAAUAUCAUCGAGCUUUAAUUCUAUGAAAAUCAAUUCAAAAACUUAAACCAUUAAAUAAUGAACCAGUAAUAUAUAUCAAAUAAAGUAUAAUUAAAAUCCUAACAUUUGAAGUACAUAUCACUUUCAAACUUUUUGUUUUUUUGACAAAAAUCUUUGAAGGAUUCUCUCAACUAGAUGCGUAAAAGUUGAGUAUAAUUUUCGUAUAUGUUGUCAAACUCCACUUGUUGACAUGAGCUAACAAACAAAAAUAGGCGCCUAAUCCAUCUUUUCAUAAAUUAAUCUCGAAGUCGUAUAAAUGGACUAUAGACUUUGAGGCCACCAUCAGGAAAAUUAAGAACUAUGAAAUUAAGGUCUCAACUCUGUUCAUUGCCCAAACUACAAGAAAAUGGAUUCAUUUCUCUUCUCCUUCAUGGCCACAAUUCUGUUGCUUCCAGGAGCAGCAUCCGAAGUAGGCACCGGCCAUAUGGGCAGUAUUGGUGUCAUCGUCGAUAAUAGUUCGCUUAUCGGUAAAGAAGAGAUAGUAGCAAUGAAGUUAGCCAUCUAUUACUUCAACAACAAAACUAAUCGACAAUUGGAUUUGCAUGUGAGAGACUCUCAAAGUGAUCCAGUUCUUACUUUGCUUUCCGGUAAACUCCACCAAUCUAAUUAUCUUUCAGUGAUUCGAAGGAAACUUAAUUUGAAGAUGUACUCGAUAAUUAAUUUGAAUGAAUUUUGUUUGUAACUUUCGUAUGUAUUCUGAGAUGCAGCCAGAAAUCUGAUCAAGAAGCGGAGAGUGCAAGCUAUUAUCGGCCUUGAUACAUGGGAAGAAGCAUCUUUAGUUGUGGAGCUUGGUAGUAAAGCUCAUAUUCCGAUUGUUUCCUUGGCUGAUGCAGCUCCGCAGUGGGCAACAGAUCGCUGGCCGUUCCUUGUUAGAGCCUCGCCGGAGAAACACCUGCAAAUGAAAGCUGUGGCAGCCAUUAUCGGGUCUUGGGGAUGGCGUCGGAUCAAUGUGAUAUACGAGGAUACCAACUCUGCUGGCUCUGAGAUCAUUCCAUUUCUUGCUGAUGCCCUCAAGCAAGUUGGUUCAGAAAUCGGAUACCUUGCAGCUCUCCCACCAUCAUCUGCAGUUAAUUCUUCUUCUUCUUUAUCUGAUCAGCUCCAAUGGCUUAAAGGAAAGCAGUCACAAGUCUUUGUGGUUCAUUCAUCUUUAUCAAUGGCGGAGCGUUUGUUUUCAAAAGCUAAUGAAUUGGGCAUGAUUGGAAAGGAUUCUGUUUGGAUCACUACAGACAGCAUCACAAAUCUUGUACAAUCCAUGAAUUCCUCAGUCAUCUCUUCCAUGGACGGUGUUCUAGGAGUGAAGAGCUUCUUCCAGGAAGACGGAGCCCGGUUCCAAGACUUCUGCUCCAGAUUUCGACAGAAGUUUCGAUCACUGUAUCCUAAGGAAGACAACCACGAGCCUGGGAUUUUCGCCGUUCAGGCAUAUGAUGCUGUGUGGUCUGUUGCUCUAGCAAUGGACAACAACGGGUCGACCCAACAAUUGUUAGAAAAGAUUGAACUCAGCGAUUUCCAUGGCCUCACAAACAGAAUCAAAUUUGAGAGACGACGCUUGGCUCCACAGCGCAUGUUUCAGAUUGUUAACGUGAUUGGAAAAAGUAAUAGAGAGCUCGGAUUCUGGUCGGAGGGAUCAGGCUUCGCCAAGCCUACUAAUGGUCAAAUUCAAAACAGUAGCUCCAUGGACAUCCUGGGGCAAGUGUUUUGGCCAGGAGGCCCUACUUCCACCCCAAGAGGAUGGGCAUUUCCUACAAGCGAAACCCCAUUGCGAAUUGGAGUGCCCCUCAAUGCCACAUUCAAACAAUUUGUUUCUGUAAACUACGAUAUUGAUGGAGGCCAUCGAUCGGUUUCGGGUUCUCAAUCGAAGUCUUCAAAGCAGUUCUGAAACAUUUAAAAUACAAUCUAUCUUAUGAGUUUUUUCCCUACAGUGGUACCUAUGAUGAUUUGGUGGAACAGGUUCAUCUCAAGGUGAGAGAUUUGUUCAUUCUCCUUACUCUUAACUCCAUUUUAAGUUACAUUACUAAUACUUUUCUAUACGUAACAUAUAAAAUUGUAUCUAUGUGAAGAAAUUUGAUGCAGUGGUAGGCGAUACGUCGGUAAUUUCAAAGAGAUGGGAUCUGGCCGAAUUUUCGUAUCCCUACACAGAACCAGGAUUGCUGAUGAUAGUUCCUGAGAAAGUAGAGACAUCCAAUAGGGCUUGGUUAUUCAUGAAGCCCUUCACCAAGGUGAUGUGGGUUCUAACAGGUGCUAUAACCAUCUACAAUGGCUUCACCCUCUGGUUGAUAGAACGAAACCAAAACCCAGAACUUAUGACAGGCUCUACUCUGAACCAAAUGGGAACCUUGGUUUGCCUAUCCUUCACCACCCUCUUCUCUAUGCAUGGUAAGGGCUAUAAAUCAUCCAUUUCAUCUACUGUAUCUGAAACUGAACAUAUCACUUCUCAUAUAGAAUUAGUAUAUAAUUUUGUUGCAUGUAUCCAUUUCUUUCUUCAAUGCUAUGAAAAUCAUGAGGGUUCUGAUGAUAUUUCCAAAUGCACAUUUUAUGUCAUAAUUUCAAGCCAAUUUAACAUAAUAAUUGCUCUUGAUAGUUUUAUCUGAUGAAUUUUUUCGUAUCCCAUUGUUCAUAAUGUAACAUGGAAGAUGGGGAUUGAGGCUGUACAGGUCUUUAAGGUUCCCUCAUGCAUUUAUCUUUCUGAAUCACAGGAGGAAGGCAACAUAGUAAUCUGUCCCGGUUGGUAAUGGUGGUCUGGCUGUUCGCAUCUCUGGUGAUAACGAAUAGCUACACUGCUAAUCUUACCAGCAUGCUUACGGUCCAACGCCUUGAACCUACUGUGGUCGAUGUGGAAGAUCUGAAGAGUGCUAAUUCCAUUGUUGGGUGCAGCAAACGAUCAUUCGCGGUGAGGUAUUUGGUGGAUGUCAUAGGAAUAAAAAUGAGAAACAUAAAAGAUAUCACUUCAGCUGACCAGUAUGCUCGAGAUCUCAGAAGCGGAGAGAUAGCAGCAGCCUUCAUUGAAGCUCCCUACGCCAAAAUAUUCCUUGCCCAAAACUGCAAAGGCUUUGCUGCUUCUGGGAAAACAUACAAAGUUGGUGUCUUUGGAUUUGUAAGUCCCUAUAUUCCUUUAUAGCUAACUCUCCUUUCUCCAUCUUACUCAAAUUUUCUAAGAUCAAAGGUGAGCCUAUCAACCUGCCAUUCAAUGCCAUUUGGGCUGUGUUUCUUGAAAAAGUACAUCAGGGAGAUUAUCACUGAGAGCAUUUUUGCAUUAGGGCUCAAUUGGGUGGUGGUUUGUUUUCUCUGAAGUCCCAAAUCAAUAGAAGAUUUCUUCCCUUUUCCCCAACUUUUCUCAGCAACCAAACAUGCAGAACUGAAACCCAUUUAGCUGCACCAAACCAAAAUUAAUUAGUCUAUCUAGUGUAUGAUUAUUAAUAUGAUUGAUUAAUUAAUUUGCUGAUUUUUUCAGGUGUUCCCAAAGGGAUCACCUAUUCUUCCAGACAUAUCUAAAGCAGUCUUGGAGGUGACUGAAAAUGGUGAGUUACGUGAAUUACAGAACAUGUUGAUUGGAUCCCAGAAGUGUAAUUCAAAUAUUACAGAAACCAGUGAGGAUAGCAGUAGUCUUAGCCCUAGCAGCUUUUGGGUACUUUUCUUAAUAACAGGAGGUGUAUCAACAGUUUGUCUUGUAAUCUUCAUGGCCAGAGAAAGGUUAACCUAUUUGUAUAAUUAUUCGUUGGGGCAUAUGGCCAUUUGGAGACUAAUAUCAGCUGUAAUGAGAAGCUGGAGAUCACAUCCACGUGAGCGAUUCUCUAGAGGAAUUAGCGACGAAGAAAGUAAUGGAAAUGGCCAACACACAUCUAUGCAUUCACCACAAUACUUUGGAUAUAGAGUGCCAUGGCAGAGAAAUUACAGCUCCAGAAGUUCUUCCUAAAUUCACAAGCUAAAUCAACCCCAAAAAAUAAAAAUUUUAGAGGAUGCUUGGGAAACCAUAACCCAUAUGUGAAUGCAUUUAAGCACAGAAUUUAUAGCAUAUUUUCUGUAUGUUUGUGCUCUGUGAAAUGCAAUAUAAUUCUUAUUUUUAAAAUGCAUUUGUGUAUUAUUGUACGUACUGUUUUAGAUAAAGCAAUAUAUAAAUACUCUUGAUUUUGUAUGUAAAAUCAUAUAUUAAUAUGAUAGAUUUAUACUUGGUUCUUGUUUGGAGCUUAAAGCCCAUCUGUUGACAAGUAUGCGAAAGGAAAAGCAAGCUUAAAACUGAUGAUAAACCCUAAAAAUCUAGACACUAUUCAAUUAAAAAUGAAAAAGAAACAUAUAGCAAAACUAUAUAAAUGAUGAUUCAAUGUCUCUCAAGGACAAGUUCAAGUUAUCAAAACCAUCAAUUUUUCCUCCUUUGGUAAUUACUGUAAGGGUGGUAACCAAUUCUUUUUUGAAACUUCUAAGACUUACCUAAUCCCAUGCUGCCCUAAUACCAAUUGAUAUUCAAGAUCAGCUAAUUAUUGGUGAAUAAUGCAUAAUUGUAUAAAUUUAAGGUUAUAGUCAUGAUCUUUAGAUCCAACCAAGAGGAAUGGUAGAUAUCACCAAGUUUUCCUUGACUUUUCCUCAUUGGGCGAAUGAAUGGUUGUAAGCCCUUUGUCAAUUUAAAGAGAUACAUAAUCAAGAGAAAGACAUGAAUGAUAAGAUUUUUCCGUGUGGAGCAAUGAAAUCGAAUGAGAUGAAUUGACGAAAGCUAUUUAAUUAGUGAGUGAUUAAGAAUUGUAGAACAAGGGAAUAAUCUUAAAUUUUAAUUUUGUCAGUCAAUCCAGAUACAAGUAUAACUUAUAAUAUUAUAAGGCAUAGUCAAGACUCCCAUGACCUGGAAUUAGCAUGCAGUGGCAUUUGAAUUUAUCGUCUCCUCAAUAUAAAAUUGUUACCUAAAGGCAUUUUGUCUACUCUACACGUCAAGCUAUUGAGACAAAAAAUUAAGAGUUUCAGAACACAUUAAUGGUAGUUAGCAACGAAUUCAAUGUCAAGAUUCUAAUCUCAGGAUUCUUUGAUAACAAAGGCAUUGACUUAGUCUAAGAUUACUUGAUAAAUUCAACAUUCUUUGAUCAAUGCAUGUAUAUAUUACUAUGACGAAGAAAUAAAAAAUUCUAGUCUCAAUAGGGCCUGUAUAUUUGAACAAGUCAAGUGUUUCAAUCAAUCCACAUAUAUGAAGAGAAAAAAUCAAAGGACAUGCAUGUUUACCAAUUUUCAAGCUUUGUUUCUAGUGAUAGUAUAUACCAAAUAUACUGGCAAUUCCAAAUAAGGAACCCUCCAAAGUCACAUGUUUAUAGUCCUGUCUAAACAGGUCAUUCCAUGAAAAUUGAUAGUAUAUAUUUGUUGUCUUGUGCCUGUUGGUAUAUACUGGAUUAAUUAAUGUAUCUAGAAAGCAGCAAAGGAAUUCAAUUCAAACGAAAGCAAUGUGAUUUGACAACAAUAUUUGAAAAAUUAAUACACCCCAAGGUCUUACAAGUUUAACCGAAGAACAACGUUAUGUAACAAUAAAUGCAUCCUUUACUAAUGAUCAGUGAAGCAUUAACAACGUAGCGCGGUAGUUCUAGAAUUCUUCGUCUCAGACCUAGGGGUGGAGCCAGUACUGAUCAAUUGGUCCACAAGAUUGGGGUUCAAUUCUUUGAAUCAUGCCCCAUAAGAUGGGCUUCAACUCUUAAAGUUGACCCAGUAAGCGAAAAAAAAGAAGACAAAUGAGGCAAAGAAAGGAAAUUAAAGCAUUCUUAUCCAUAUAUAAAGGAAAGGGACCAUGGUGGCAAUAGCUGUCCUUUUAGUCUUCACAAAAUGGGCAUAUUGUUUUCUCUCUUCUUCUCUUUGUUGGUCUUAGAUUUGUUGUUUCUGCAAAUGGCAACAGCCGAUGGAGGCACUGACUCAAUUGAAAAAGCUGAUGUCAAGGGAAGUAUUGGAGCUAUUCUAGACUAUAGCUCGCGCAUUGGGAAAGAAGAGAAGGUAGCCAUGGAGAUGGCUAUAGAGGAAUUCAACUCUCAGUACUCCAACCAGCAUAUUGACCUGCUGAUAAAUGACUCUCAAGGGGAACCCAUCCAAGCAGCACUUGCAGGUAAGUCUAUCGGUUCAUCUCCUUUAAUUUCUGGCAAGUAAUGAGAGUUCUCUACAGUACCAUGUUUGACAUUGAAAUUCAGUUCCCAUGACCACAUCCUAGUUUGCAAUAGAUCUUGUUCAUGCAUAUAUACUAUAUUUCUGGGCAAAUUAUAGAUGACUCAGGACAUAGCUAGGGCAUUCAGAAACAGACAUAUAUAUAUAUGCUGAAAUGUUCAUGAGGUUCAUAUAUAUGACAAGAUAUUGUUAGUGAUAAAUGCGUUUUUGGAAAUGAAUUUUACAUAUAUACAACUAUGAGAACUGGUGGUUAACACUGGGCAGAUUCAUUACCUACUUAGCACUCCACUUAAAGCUAUGAAUUCGCAUUAGUUUUCUGGGAAAUGAAAGGAGUUACUAAAGGAACUAACCAUAAUAUUUUGUGCUUCAUCAGCAUCUUAGCAUAUCCGUACAUCCAUACAGACUUGACCCAUAAGCCAUGAGGAAAGAACAAAUUAAAACAGUUGCUUUUUGAAUGAGUUUGCAUAGCAUUGUGAAGAAAUUAAGUAAACAACAAAUUACAAAGAAAUCAUGGUGUACUAAUAUAUAUAGGACAUAUAUACCAAGUUUUUACAGCUUGUUUGUGAAGUAUUCAUAGGCAGGAAUGGUUUGAUUUCAGUACAUACAACAAAAAAAGAAUCAACCAUUUUUGGCCUUGUUUUGCAUAUUAGUUUCAUUAUACAUAUAUAUAGUACUGAUAUUGUUUUGAUAGUGAAAUUAUCAAACCAUGUAGAAGCUGCUACACUUCUACUAAUACUGCUACUACUACCACCACUCCUACUGCUGAUUUUUUGAACAUUGUUGCAUCAAUAUACAGCACUGGAGCUUGUAUACAGGCAUCGAGUAAAAGCAAUUCUGGGGCCCCAAUCAUGGGAAGAAGCAUCCUUAGUUGCAGAGGUUGGCAGUCAAGCUCAUAGCCCCAUUCUUUCUCUUGCCUAUGCAACUCCACAGUGGGCAACAGAAAGGUGGCCCUUCCUCAUCCAAGCCUCUGCAGACCAGUCUUGCCCAAAUGAAAGCCAUUGCUGCAGUUAUUAAGUCUCAGGAUUGGCAUCGGGUGACCGUAGUAUAUGAGGACAUCCCGUCCUCCGCCACUGGAGCCGUUCUCCAACUCUCAGAAGCCCUGAAAAAUGUAGGAAUAGAAAUAGGCCACCUUCUGCCUCUCCCACCUUUGUCUUCUUCUUCUUCAUUGGUUGAAGAGCUCCAGAGUCUUAAAGAAGGGCAGCGUAGAGUGUUUGUGGUUCAUACAUCCUUGCAAUUGGGGGUUCACCUAUUCGAAACUGCCAAGAAGAUGGAGAUGAUGAAAGAAGUGUAUGUAUGGAUCAUUACAGACACCAUUUCCAGUCUUGUCCAUUCCGUAAAAGCCUCUACCAUCUCCUCAUCCAUGGAUGGAAUUGUAGGUGUCAAAAGCUACUUCAUUGAAACCACACCCCAUUUCAAGAUAUUCCGGGGGAGAUUCAGGAGGAAGUUCAUCUCAGAACACCCAGACGAAGAAAAGAAUGAACGCGGGAUUUACGCAGCUAAGGCCUAUGAUGCCACUUGGGCUGCAGCUCUAGCGAUGAAGGAAGGGGUACCGAUACUGGCCAACAACUGCUAGAAAAUAUUUCAAACGGCCAAUUUGAUGGCUUAACUGGAAAGAUCCAAUUCAGCGAUCAGAAAUUAGCCCCAACACAUAUAUUUCAGAUCAUCAAUGUUGUAGGGAAGAGUGAUAGAGAACUAGGGUUCUGGUCCUAGACAUCGGAGGAGGAGUCAGGUUUUUGGGGAGAUGGAAGAGCUCUGGCACAGGUGAUUUGGCCUGGGGGACCCAGGAAUACUCCAAGGGGAUGGACGACUCCAACAGAUGAGAAGCCACUGAAGACCAGUGGGUCCACUUUCAAACAGUUUGCAGAAGUGACACAAGAUGGAAAUAAUAUUGCUUUCAAAGGAUUCUCAAUCAAUGUCUUCAAUGCAACUAGGGGUCUCCAAAAAGCCCGCGGCCCGCUUUAGGCCCGGCCCGGCCCAAGCCCGCCGGGCCCAAGCUCGGCCCGAGCCCGUUUAUGGGCGGGCCGGGCCGCGGGCCUAAAUUUAGGCCCGGCGGGCCGGCCCGCCCUUAGGCCCGCCUUUAAUUUUUUUUUUAAAAAUAAUAUACUAUAUUUUUAUAUAUAUAUAACUAAUUCAUUUAAUAAGCACAAAAGAAAUGUAGCUCAGUUGGUUAGAGCCUUAAAAUUUAAGCUUGAGGGGAGGGGUUCGAAUCCCCCCCUCUUCCUUCCUUUAUUUAAAAGCCAUUUUGGCUUAUUUAAAAAAGCCCGUUGGCCCGGCCCGCCCAGCCCGCCAGCCCGCAGGCUCAUAGGCCGGGCCGCGGGCCUAGCAUUUGAGCUCGGCCCGGCCCGUUGACCAGUCAACGGGCCCAUAGGCCCGGCCCGCCCAUUGGAGACCCUUAAAUGCAACUGUGGAACGCUUGCCAUAUGCUUUGCCACAUAAGUUGUAUGCCUUCAAUGGCACAUACGAUGAACUAGUGAGACAGGUUUAUUUGAAGGUACGAGAUAUGCUGUCUUCUUAAAGGUACGAGAUAUGCUGUCUUCUUUCAUUCAGUUUCUUGCUCUUCCGAUUUGAAAGGUCUGUUCGGUGAUACUUUAUUUUUAAUCAUUUUCCAUGUUUGUACCAUCAUUUUUCAAAAACUGUUUUUUGUCAAUUUUUAUUUAUUUAUCAAACCUAUACCGCUUUCAAUUUAAAAACAAUUCCCAAAUAAACUCUAAGGUGGUGUUUGUUUUUUGGCUGAAUAAAAAAAGUAAAAUAUUUUGGCUUUUUCUAUUCGGCUAAAAGUACCUUAUUGAUACUAACCAACAUAAUUAAAGUGAAUUUCUUAUUAAUAAGUUUAGUUUAAUGAUGUUGGUUGAUGUCAAUGAGUUACUUUUAGCUGAAUAGAAAAAGUUAAAAUAUUUGGUUUUUUCUAUUAAGCCAAAAAACAAAUACAACCUAAGUCUUAUUCACAUAGAACUUGUCCAUAUUUGUAUAUUUACUUGAAACUCUGCAAAUGUGAGCAGAAAGUUGAUGCAGUAGUUGGAGAUGUUGCAAUAGUAGCCAAAAGGUUUGAGCAUGCAGAGUUCACACAACCUCAUGCUGAACCAGGAUUGCAGAUGAUAACCCCAGUUCGAUCAAAAAGCAGCAAUAAAGCAUGGCUAUUCAUGAAGCCCUUCACAAGAGCCAUGUGGAUUCUAAUAACAUUCAUAAAUGUCUACAACGGAUUCGUGGUAUGGUUGAUAAAAAGAAACCAGUACUGCAAUGAACUUAAAGGCUUAGUCCUCAAUAAAAUAGGAACCCUACUUUGGCUAGCCUUCUCAACGCUCUUUUCUCUGCAUGGUAAGAAGAAAUCCCUACAUAUCUUAGAAAUUUAAGGCAUAUUUGGUAACUAUUUUUUAAAAUAGUAUUUGAUUCUUUAAAGAAAAAAAAACCAAGAAAAUACAUUUAACAGCCUGACAAAACAAAAACCAAUUUUCUCAAAAACAAAAAACUUGAUGUAUAAUCUUUUAAUGGUUUUCGAUUGUUUUCUAUAGCGUUUUAAAAAAUAAUUAUACGAAUAUUGAAAAUGAUUAUAAAUAAAUUAUUAGAUAUCAAGUUAGUUUUAAGACAUUUAAAAAUAUAAGAAAUAAGUUAAACAUAUUUUAGGUUCUCAAACCCAAUUUUUUUCUAUAAAAUAUUAAAGACCAGUUUUUCAAAAACUGUUUUUAAAAAUAUUUCUCAAAUAAAAGGGAAGUUUCUAUAUGUUAUAAAAUUGAUAGCCUCACCCUAGUUGAUUUGUUUGAACAUGAACUCCAAGUAUGCUCUAAAAGAUGAAGGCAUGUAGUUGAAGUGAAAAGAUGUUGGUCAAAUAGUUCGUAAAUGAUUGAUUAGACAUGAGUAAGAUAACUCCUUGUACAUAUUAAAUUUUUUCAUGGUGAAAGUGUUUAAUUGUUAGUAGGCCCAUGGGUUUUCAUCUCUUAGGAGAUUUUCUAUGUAAAAAUCUGGUGUUAUGGUCUCCACCUCAUUCUUCUCAUUUUUCAUUAUCAUUUAUCGAUGCUAAUUUCAUUCUUAAUCAUAAAUGUUAAAUGGGUGAAAAAUAAGUUGAAAUGAGUUCAAUUAUUCUUUAGAAAUUUUGGAUACUUUUCUUUUCAAUUUGAUUAUGAUAUCAAAAGAGUAAUUAGAAAUAUGUUUUAAAUAGUUAAUUAUUAUUAUGAAUUUUGAUCGGGAAUCUUGAUUCAUUUGCAUACAAAUUGCAUUUAUUAAAUUUUUUAGAGAGUUUUGGUGCAUCUAUUCUUGCAUGUGAUUUUUAUUUUUAUUUUUUUUGUUAAAAAGUUGUUAGAAGAUAUGAGAAAUUUUAAAGAAAGAUGAUUCAUGUUGGAGCAUCUCUUAAAUUUAUUUAGAUACAUGUUGGAGUAUCUCUUAUAUUUAUUUAAAAACACCUAUUCACCCCUCUAGGGAUAGUCCAACAUUAAAAUUCAGCCUCGGUUUUUAUUAUGAAUAUUUUAUUUUUCAAGUGGAGAUCUUGAGAAAUGUUUUAUAUAUGGGAUGAGUGUGCUUUAAACAAUAACAAAAGUAAAAAUAAUUUUCAUGUAUUUUUUGCAUAAUAAUUUUUUAAAAGUUAUUAAUAUUUUUUUUUUAAAAAAAACCAUAUUUAUUUUUUUGUGGUUUAAAAACUUAUUCGAACACAUUGUGUCAUCAACUUAAAAAGACAUUUUAGAUAUUGAUUGAAAUAAUAGAAAUAUGAGAAUGCAUGAAAUCAAUUCUAAAUUCUAAAUAUUUUAGAUUUAUGAAUAUAAAUUUGAUUUAAAAAAAUGCAAGUUCUUAUUUUCUUUGAUUAGAAGGAACAAUUUGUUCCCUUUUGCAAAUUUUUAAGUUCAUAAAGCAUGAUGACUCAUUAAAUGAGAUAAAUAUUUAUCCUCUUUAUAAUUACGAUUGUGGACAAUCUUUCUUAAUAUGAUUUAAAUUCAUCUUCCGAGGACUACGAUAGAUUUCACUAUCUUCCUCCAUAAAUGUUGUACAAUAUUCCAAAUCAUAUACAAUGGAAGAUUUCAAACAAACACAUAAAUGAAUUAAAAUUAAGAAUAUUAUGAAGAAUCUCAAAUACUUAAUUGUAAAAUAUCCAUAUUUAUAAUCAAUAACCCAAGUCAUUCUAUAUACAUUACCAUCAAUACACAAUAGUAAUUACUCCAAAGGCUUGUAAGAUGUGGGGAAUGCUUUUUCUGAAUGAAAAACUACAUGAGGAGGUUUACAUACCACCUUUGCCAAGAUGAUCAGUUUCUUCACAUUUAGUUAAUCAACUCAAAAAGGCAUUGUACGAACUAAAACAAGUUGAUUGUAGAUAAAUUUUGCAUUUGUAAACCCUAUAUAAUGGUAUUAAAUAUUGUUUACAUUAAAAUGGUUUUCUUCUUUCUCAAAUGAUAUAAAACCAUAUUAAUCCUGAUUUUCAUAUUAAAUGAAACUAUUAAAAUGUAAUUUGUAUAAAACAUCUAGAUUCAAUUAAAUCAAAAUUUUACCUCAUAUUAGUAUUAAUAUUAAAACAAAAUUUACCCUAUAUCGUUUUCUUAAAACAAAUUCAAUAUAUGUAUUAUUACUUUUAUAUAUUUCCAUAAAAGCCAACUAUUGAUAUUUCAUAAAUUUUUAUAUUUUUUUUAUUUUCUCAUUCUGACUUCUAAAUCACGAACUUCUUUCAUAAAACCAGUUUGAAAGGCCCUAACCAAAUUAAAAGAACUUCUUAACUUCUCAAAAUUAUUUUAUUAUCUUGAGAAUUGAGGAACGUUCCAUGCUGAAACCCCUCAAACUCUCCAUUUAGAUACUAAUAACGCCCACUACAAUCGGCACCAGAUAAUCAGGACAUUCAAUCAACAAUAGAAAUCAAAUCUAGGACCAUGUGCCUCUACCACCGACGACCACUAACCAAUUGGACACAUCGAUGGGCUUAACGUCUAAAAAUCCAUCCAAACCAAACCCAAAAUAAUUUUUCAUAUGUAUAUCAAAUAAAGAGACUUUAGAUUCUUUUUUCCCCCUUUUUCCUGCUGCUUUCCAUCAUCCAAACAUAGCCUAACAAUUAGAGCUCAACAAAAUACAAAAAAUGGUUCAGUUUUUACAGGCUUAAGGACUUUAAGAGUUCAUUUGAAUCUUGAGGAUUCCAGCACUAGGAGAAUUUUUUAAUAACUCAAAAUAUAAGACUGAAGGGACUCAGUUCAGCUCAAAUAUCAGUUGAACAAAAGUAAUAAAAUCGGUAUUCAGCAGCAAAAUUAUUUAAACACGACCUCAAGUAAUAGUGGUUUUAACAUAAAGCUCAACCUUCAUAUUUAAAAGGAAGAAAAGAAAAGACUCGUGGCAUUGAAAGCAAAGUAAUUUUCACCUUUCUGAACACUAGAAAAUUUGCUAUCCACCAUUGCUACAAAACAACACUUCAG
This 49592-nucleotide long non-coding RNA is filed under the name Vitis vinifera (wine grape). RNAcentral describes it as "long non-coding RNA (VVIN_LNC006390)". The record is from RNAcentral. Lineage: Eukaryota; Viridiplantae; Streptophyta; Magnoliopsida; Vitales; Vitaceae.